Molecule: long non-coding RNA, 54057 nt
Filed under: Triticum aestivum (bread wheat)
Lineage: Eukaryota; Viridiplantae; Streptophyta; Magnoliopsida; Poales; Poaceae
Description: long non-coding RNA (TAES_LNC021129)
Source: RNAcentral
UUUCACUGUUGCUAGUCCCCCCCUUUAUUCCAUCUGAUUCAAAAUUAAAUUUUAAAAUAAAGUCUAAUAAAUGAUUCCUUCAAACAGUAAAACUAAAAUGUUAACAAUGUUCUAUAAUUCCCCCUGAUCUUUUUCAUGUUGAACUCAACAUUAUUGAAACUCCAAAAAUUCCCCUAGAAAAUCAAACCGUGUCCCAACAGCACUUAAUUGAACCAUUUAAAUACUAACCUAAUUUGAGUAAAUUCAAAUAGGCUCCAAAGUUUUGUGGCAAUACUAGAUUUUGCCUAGUAAUUAUUCUAGCCAUUAGAUUUUUUUGCAAAAAGUCAAUUAGCGCAUGAUUUAAAUGUAAAACAAAAUAAAAAUAAGAGAGAAAACAAAGAGAAAGCCCCUCCCGUCCCCCUGGAUCACUUUUCCCAACUAACUAAAAGAGCCCAACCCAACCCACACCUCCACUCAUCCCUCUCCUCAUGCUACAGGAGCAGGGAGCCGUGGCGGGCAUCCAUGGCGCCCUGGCCAGGUGUCGGCCAUCCCGCGCCCCCCUGAAGGAUAAGAGCCCCCCUCUCAUGCGCUGGAAACCCUAGACCCCAUUUUCCCUCUUCCUCCCUCCCCCGAACCCUAGCGUGCCACUCAUCUUCCCCCCUCGUCCAGAUCUCCUCAUCCCGAGCACCUCCAUCAUCAUUCGUUGCCCACCACAGCGACAACCGGUGCCCCCGUUCCCACCCAUCCGGUCCAAUGGAACCGCCGCGGUCGUCCACGUCAACCUUGCCCACUGGAUCAAGCCGGGACAGCCCCGCGGCUCCGUCCUGACCUCGUCUUCGACCUCGGUGCCUGGAGCUCGCCACCGUUGAUCCACUCCACCCUGACCCCUUCUGGAUUCCCGUGCAGCUCCUAAACUUCACACAGAGCCUUCUUGUGCUCCUCGGUGAGCUCUCCUCCCGUUCUUCCCUAUUCCCCCUCGAAUCCCCGUCAGACCCUCACCGCUCGCUAACCGCGGCCACCGCGACCACGCCCACCUCGCGCUUGCGCCCGACCCCGACUGCCUCGUGCCAUCCUCGCGGCGCCAUCUGCUGAUGCUCGAACGCGUCCGCGCUAAGCAAGCUACUGCCGCUUCUUGCUCUCCCACCAGGCCCCUGCACGUGCAGCUGCCGCACGUGCACCCCGCGCCCAUGCCUCCACCCGCUACCACUUGCAUCGCUGCCGUCCACCUCUGCCGCCCGCUGCUGCUCUGCUCUGCCACACCCGCCUCGUGCCCCGCGCCAUCCGCCACGCCUGGCCCCUGCCCCCCUCGCCGCGCAUGCACGCAUGCCCGCGCCAUGGCCUCGCCCUGGCCAACCACCUGCUGCCUCGCUCGCGCUUGCAGCUGCCCGAUGCGGCACGCGAUGGCCUCGCACCAGCCUCCCUCUGCCUCCGUUGCACCGCCUCGCAAACCGCCGCAACUCGACGGCCCCGCCGCUCACUGGCUACCCUGCCCCGUGCGGUCCCCUGCCCCGCUCGCCUCCCACCUUGCUUCUGGCCCGCGUGCCCUGCACCGCCGCUGGCCGCCCGCUGACUCGCCAUUGCAACGGACGCCGCGGCCCCGCGUGUUGGUCACGCCCAGUUCUGCCCUGGCCGGCGCCCUCACCCACUGACUCGCGCACGUUAACACCCGCCUCGGCUGUGGCCUUUGUGCCACCGACUGUGGGGCCCCACGCCCCUUGAAAAAAAGAACUAAAAGAAAAUAACUAAAAUAAUAAUUAAUUAACUUAAUUAAUUAAUUCUAUUAUGUUAACCCUAAUAACUUGGUUAGUUAAUUACAGUCUGUUUAAUUAAACUAUGACAAUGAUAGUGGGCCCUGGUUGUCAGUUUGACCAAGUCAAUUGCUCUGUUGACUGCUGACGUCAUGAUGAUGUCAUGCUGAUGUAAUCCCAUUUUAGAUUUAAUAAUAAUUUUAGAAGUUGCUAAAACUUUAGAAAUUCGUAGAAAAUAAUCCGUAACUCGGAUGAAAAUGUUUGAUACAUGAAAGUUGCUCAGAAAGGCGAGACGAAUCCGGAUAUGCCCUUGGUUAGUCUGUCACACGUCCCUAGCAUAGCGAACAUGCAACCGCCCCCCUCCGAUUCAUCUGUUCGAAAAUGCCAAACUUAGGGAAAACUUUCCCGGAUGUUAUCCCCCUUCGCCGAUAUCAUGUAACACUGCGUUAGAACACCCCUAGCUCUACAUGUACUCAUGUCAUGCAUAUGAGUGCUUUGUAUCUACUAUUUAUUCCCACUCUUAUUCUCCGGUAGACCCCGAGACUGUUGCUAAUGCCACUGUGGUCGACUAUGUCACCGACGACCCUCCUUCCCUUUAAGUAGAGCUUCUAGGCAAGCAACCCCCCCUCGAUCAUUCCGAUAUCGCCCAUUCCAUUCUCUCUUAUGCCUGCAUUAGAUUUUGCUACUGUUAUUGAUUGCUCCUAUUCUGAUGCAUAGCUUGCUUUUGUAACCUGCUAUUGUACCUUACCUUAUUCUAAACUGCUUAGUAUAGGUUGGUUAGUGACCCAUCAGUGACCCCCCACCUUGUCCUUGUCGCCCAUGCUUCAUCAUCGACGACUCGAUCAACGUGAUCGACGACCAGAGCCGAUACCUCACAUCACAUCAUGCCCCUUUUGUUGCUUGAUUCUGCAGAGCUACUAUCCAGUGCCGAGGGUGAUACCUCGUAACCCACUCCUGAUGAUAACUCUGUAGUGUAGCUAUUCGGUCGUGGUCAUCGAGGGUGAUUCCUCCUUCACCACUACCCAUACGGCUCUGUCGUGCAACACCUCAAGUGUGAACCUCGAGGGUGAUUCCUCCUAAGUUCAGCUUGACGAUUACAUCGAGUGGAAUCCCUCAAAGGUGAUUCCUCAGGUUUCCCCCUUGAUGUUUUGGACACACGGUUACCCUGACUUUACUUGAGACCAUUGUUAAAUUCGGUCGGCCCUGAGGGAUAAUUACGUGGCACGGCCGGGCAUUCCGGACCCUUGCCGAAAGUCCACGAGGCGGGGUGAUGGGGACACUAAGGUUUGGGUAUUUGUUCUAAGUUGGCCUCUGGCCUUUACGCACUAACCACCACGCGAGAAUAGUUACUGGCAUCGGCGUCAUGGUAUUAGCCGAAGCUUUGUCAGACAUCCAGUUCAGCAUUGCGGCAUGGUCGGAUCACGUUGACCAUCCGUGGUGUGAUAUGUCUCCAUCGUAUCUCUAAUUUUUUAUAGUUUCAUGCCAAUAUUAUACAACUUUCACAUAUUUUGGCAACAUUUUAUAUGAUUUGUUGGACUAACCUAUUGACCCAGUGCCCAGUGCCAGUUCCUAUUUUCUGCAUGUUUUUUGUAUUGUAGAGUAUCCAUAUCAAACAAAGUCCAAAUGCAAUAAAAUUUUAUGGAGAAUUAUUUUGGAAUAUAUGUGAUUUUGGGGAGUUGGAAUCACCGCAAACGGAGGCCCACACAACCCACAAGACACCAGGGCGCCAGAGGCCCCUAGCGCAUGGUGGUGGGUUGUGCCCUCCUCGAACGUUGGUUGGAGCUCUACUUCGGGCGCGAGGAAGCUUAUAUCCGGAAAUAAAUCAUGUUAAAAUGUCAGCGCAAUCGGAGUUACGGAUCUCCCAGAAUAUAAGAAACAGUUUUCAACAAGAUCCGGGGAACGCAAAACAGAAGAGAAUAGAGAGGGAGAUCCAAUCUCGGUGGGGCUCCUGCCCCUCCGCCGCCAUGGAGGCCAUGGACAAGAGGGGAACUCUGCUCCAAUCUAGGGGGAGGCCAAGGAAGAAGAAGAAGGAGGGGGGCUCUCUCCCCCUCGCUUCCAGUGGCGCCAGAGUGCCGCCGGGGCAACGAUCGUGACGGCGAUCUACAUCAAUAAUCUUGCUACCGUCAACACCAACUUUCUCCCCCACUGUGCAACGGUGUAACACCUUUUCUCCCUGCUGUAAUCACUACUUAAACAUGGUGCUCAACUCCAUAUAUUAUUUCCCAAUUAUCUAUGGUUAUCCUAUGAUGUUUGAGUAGAUCCUUUUUGUCCAGUGGGUUAAUCGUGAUCUUGGUUGGUAUGAUUGUAUAUUUUAUUUAUGGUACUGUCCUACGGGGCCCUCUAUUCUCGCGCAAACGUGAGGGCCCCCCACUGUAGGGUGUUGCAAUAUGCUCAUGGUUUGCUUAUGGCAGGUUGCGAGAGUGACAGAAGCUUAAACCCGAGUAGGUGGGCCAUGGCAUAUGGGAUAAAGAGGACUUGAUACUUAAUGAGAUGGUUGGGUUUCAUGACCUUAAUGAUCUUUAGUAGUUGCAGAUGCUUGCUAGAGUUCCAAUCAUAAGUGCAUAUGAUCCAAGUAGAGAAAGUAUGUUAGCUCAUGCCUCUCCCUCAUGUAAAAUUGCAAGAAUGAUUACCGGUACUUGUUAUCGAUUGCUUAGGGACAAAUAACUUUCUUGUUGACACAAACCCUUUUUCUAAACACCUAAAUUUUAUUAUCUUGCAAAGUACUUAUAGUUUUAUUCUUGCAAACUAGUUCUAGCAUCACACCAACAAAAUAGUUUCAUACUUGUUUCUGAUAAAGGAAACGUGAAGUGUGGGUAGAGUUGUAUAGGUGGCCGAUAGAACUUGAGGGAAUAUUUGUUCUGCCUUUAGCUCCUCGUUGGGUUUGACACUCUUAUUUAUCGAAGAAGGUUAAAAACGAUCCCCUAUACUUGUGGGUUAUCAAGACCUUUUUCUGGCGCCGUUGCCGGGGAGCAACAGAAUGGGGUGAAUAUUCUCGUGUGUGCUUGUUUGCUUUAUCACUAAGUAAUGUUUUUGUGCUCUUGUUUUCUAUCUCUAGUUAUGGGUAGUGUCAGGACCCCGACUCGAUGUCACAUCGGUCUAGCCGGUAACACCUCAUAUCACUUUGCGGCCUCACGCACGGUAUCCCCACGGGUGUCGUCUUACCUUUUCCCGGGACCGUUUGCGCCUUUUGGCUCACGUAUAUGAUAGUGUCGCUAGCAUCCAUAUGAUAAGGAGCCCGGGCUGACAUGACUAGUCGUAAACCCAAAGUGGCACAGACUUACAGGGACAGGCAUCCAUGACCCAGCUUCGAACGUGUCGGUCAUCAGCAAGUGGGUCCGGGCUGUAGCAUUGGGCUAACAGGACUCCGGUAAACCGGGCUGUAGCGGGCUAACAGGACUCCGGUAUUCAUCGCGUGACAUUUCCCCGAAGGGACAGACACAGGAACGAAGAAGGACACAUGCCGGCCAGCCUAAGUGUUCCAGAGCAGUAGCAAGCUACCAUGGCUCAGCGGUAACACUAGGAGACAUUUCCCGGUAAGAGAGGCUACUAAAGAUAAACAACUAGAUAGUCAGAUCCCACACAUACCAAGCAUUUCAAUCAUACACACAAUAUGCUCGAUAUGUGCAAAUACAACGAAGCAUCACAACAUGACUCUACGACACAAGUACUUUAUUCAUUAGGCUCCGAGGAGCGAGAUAUUACAAACAUGGGUCUCAUGACCCAACACUCAGAGCAUACAAGUCAAAGCACAAGCGGAAACUAUCAUGUCUGAGUACAGACGUCUAUAAAUGAAAAAGGCUGAAAAGCCUGACUAUCUAUCAGAUCCUGCCGAGGGCACAAGAUCGUAGCUGAGGUAACAAGCUAAACGUCGAAGUCCACGCGGAACUACUAGCGAGACCGAAGUCUCUCUGCAAAAACAUAAAAUAGGCAAACGUGAGUACAAAUGUACCCAACAAGACUUACAUCAGAACUAACUACAUAUGCAUCAUUAUCAACAAAGGGGAUGGUGGGGUUUAACUGCAGCAAGCCAGCUUUGACUCGGUGGCUAUCCUAAACUACGACUGCAAUGUAACUCUUUUGAGGUGGCGCACACGAGUCCACAUAUUCACCAUAUCAAUACACCACUAUGGAUCCGCUCUCGUUCCCCUACGAGAACGCCAUCCAUAGCACUCACGCUUAUCUUGCGUAUUUUAGAGUAUCCACUUUCACUUGUCUAUUUUUAGAGUAUAAGCAACCCAGAAGUCCUUUUCCGCGGACACGGCUAUUCGAAUAGAUGAUGUUAACCCUGCAGGGGUGUACUUCUUCAUACAUGUUUCCACCACUUAGCGUCUGCACACGACAUGUGCUCGGCAGACUUCAAGCGAAAGCCGACGUGGGUGUAGACCACGACCUACCUAAACACUCAAGUCUCUAGUCCAGGUUUAUCGCCUAUUCGGGUUCCAUCCAUGAGGAGAUCCGGCCGGAGUUUCGCUCACAGCCCCAAACGAUGUGAACAGGGUUCCCGAGAUACCAAAUGGGCAUCCGGUACACCGUGCCACGUACCUACCGCAUCACAGCCCACCCCUACGGUCAGCGCUGUCCACGGCCUCCAGUAAGCUACAAACACCAGAAACUACUUGCAACUCCUGGACAGAGAGCUAGGGUGAAUAAGAAGUCGAGCGGGGUCAUAUUUCAGGGCCCAAUGUAUGGUAGUAACUGAAUCAUGGAUCACAAACACAGAACUCAGUUCCUGAGGACGGCUGCAAUGAGACAACCCACCAUGUACUCCUACAUGGCCUCUCACCGCUACCUUUACCAAAUCGUGUUCACACACUUAGCUCACACACAGUAGGACAUGUUCACACACCUCUGAUUCAUCCCCGAUGAAUCAGACCUGACUCAACUCUAAGCAGUAGCAGGCAUGACAAACAAGCAUGAAUGAGUAGGCACAACAGGGCUCAAACAACUCCUACUCAUGCUAGUGGGUUUCAUCUAUUUACUCUGGCAAUGACAGGUUAUGCAAAGGAUAAAGGGGUUCAACUACUGCAGCAUGUAACAAUUGAAUCGGUGUUGUCCUAAUGCAAUAAAAAAGAGCAGGAGCGAGAGAGUAGGAUUGUAUCGGAAUGAACAAGGGGGUUUUGCUUGCCUGGCACUUCUGAAGAUAACAUUGAGUCUUCAUCAGUGUCAACGAUCACAUCAUCGGUAUCACGUCUAUCGAGAGGGGACAAAUACCGGCAACACAGAAAGGAACACAAUCAAUGCAAUGCACAAUAUGAUGCAUGCUCAUGACAUGGCAAUAUGAAUGUGUUUUGAGCUAAUGCAACUAGCAACAGAUUAAGUGAAGUUGGUUUGAAUAUAAGAUUCAAAUUUAAACCCCAUAUGUGAUUAUUCAAAUGCCAUUUAAUUGAUUUGUGCUAAACAGCAGCUAUAAGUUGUUCUAACAUGCAUGAAAAUGGUACAGAUGGAUUCCUUGAAUUUUUCUGAUAAUUUUUCAUAUAUAAAUUAUUUAAUUUGGAGUUACGGUUAAUUUUCUAUGAUUUUUAGAGGUUUUAGCUAUUUUCUGGAUUUUCUGAUUUAUUUUAAAUCCAGAAAAUCAUUUAAUGCGUCAGCAUGACAUCACCUUGACGUCAUCAGGUCAACAGGGCAGGUUCAGGUCAAACCUGACCAGUGGGGUCCACUGGUCAGUGACUGGGGCUGAUUAGUGUCGCUGACAUGUGGGCCCAGUCAACAGCCACGUCAGCUUAGUCAAAGCUGACGCGUGGGGCCACUAGGAUUAGUUAAAAACUAAACAGAAACUAAUCUAGGAUUAAUUAGCAGGUGGGGCCCUGCUGUCAAUGUCACAGGGUUAAUUAGCAGGGUCAAAUCCCGGGUCAGUGGGGUCAAACCCACCGGCGACAUGACGCCGGCGAGGCCAGCCGCGGUGGCGAGCCUCAGGUUUGCGUCUCCGGUGACCAAACGGCCGGCCAAGUGCACGCGCGGGGAGCUGGGGCUCGCCCGCAUCCAGGGAGGCUUACGGCAGCAGCGGAGACGGCCGGAGCUCGCCGGAAACGAGCUCGAGGCGGCGCCGGCGUUUGGUUGUUUCUGGCUACGGGGCUGCUGCGGCCGUGGUAUCGCGUUCGUGGCACCUACAGCAGCUACGCGAGGCAGCGAACAUGUUGGACACGACGCCCGGACCAAAUGGUCGCCGGAGACGUGUCGGCGGUGAGUGCAGGCGGCGACGCAGUCGGGCGAAAGGGGCGAGGCGGCUACGGCGUGCCAGAGAGGAAACGGAGAGGGGGAAAAGGUUCGGUGGCUCACGGCGGUUGCAGCGGACGCCGAAGCAGGCUCGGGGAAGGCCGGACGGCGACGAGUCGAUGAUGGGGAUCCGCGGCGGCCGGCGAUGAAGAAGAGGCCGGUGACGGUGUUUUGAGGCAUCCGGCGUCGAGUGAGUCGACGGGGAGGACGAGGAGGUUGAAACGGAGGCCAUGAACACGUCGGCGAGGCGGGGGAGGGCCUGUGGCCGCGGUGGUUCUAGUCGGCGGCGACGGCUGUGUUCGGGUUCGGGCGAGAGAGAAAGAGCAGAGGGGCGGGGCCUCGAGGAAGAGUGAGAGGGUCCGAGGGGGUGGCGUGGCGUCUCCGGGCGUCGAGGAGGGAGGCAGGGAGGCUGCCACGGCGAAGCAGGAGGUGGCCGGCGCUCUUCGGGCGCGCGCCACGCCUCGCCUCUGCCUACUGGCAGAGGAAGAAGAGGACAAGGNNNNNNNNNNNNNNNNNNNNNNNNNNNNNNNNNNNNNNNNNNNNNNNNNNNNNNNNNNNNNNNNNNNNNNNNNNNNNNNNNNNNNNNNNNNNNNNNNNNNNNNNNNNNNNNNNNNNNNNNNNNNNNNNNNNNNNNNNNNNNNNNNNNNNNNNNNNNNNNNNNNNNNNNNNNNNNNNNNNNNNNNNNNNNNNNNNNNNNNNNNNNNNNNNNNNNNNNNNNNNNNNNNNNNNNNNNNNNNNNNNNNNNNNNNNNNNNNNNNNNNNNNNNNNNNNNNNNNNNNNNNNNNNNNNNNNNNNNNNNNNNNNNNNNNNNNNNNNNNNNNNNNNNNNNNNNNNNNNNNNNNNNNNNNNNNNNNNNNNNNNNNNNNNNNNNNNNNNNNNNNNNNNNNNNNNNNNNNNNNNNNNNNUUAUUUUUUUUGUUCUGUUUGUUUUAUUUAAUUUAUUUUGCCACUGUUUUGAAUUAAAAUAAUAAUUCAAACAAUGCCAAAGCUCCUCUGAAUAUUUUAUAUUGCUAGAUGGACUUUUCCAAAAGCUUAUAAAAUAUUUCAGGGGGUAUUUGAAAUUAUAUUCUAAUUAUAUGAAUAUAAUUCAAAUUCAAAUAGCUAAUGAUUUAAAUCCAAAGUCCCAAAAAUAAAUCCUUAAAAAUGUUCAAUAUUUUGGUUGGGACCAGAACCCUUACCAAAAAUUAUCAAACAUUUAAGAAGAGCAUUUUGGAGCAAUGAAUGAGAUUUCUAGGGUUUUUGCCCCUCUUUUAUUUAAGUUUUUUGAGGCUUCCAAUAUUCCUCAAUUCAAGUUUCAGAAUUUAAACAUGAUGCACACAUGAAGCUAGCCUAAAGCAUUACCAGAAGCUAGGGAUGUGACAACUCACCCCCACUAAACAAGAAUCUCGUCUCGAGAUUCAAGCGUAGGGUAGGCUGAAGGGGAAGCGCAAACUAGUAUAAUCUUCACGAUCCAGGGUGCACUUCAGUUGAACGUUGAUUUGAACACCAUCUUUGUCUUGUCGUCUUGCUCUGAGAAAUCCUGUCAACAUGACAGGGGGGGGGGGAAGAAGGAGACUCUAGAAGGGUCGAUCUUCUUGAAGAUCGAACAACUCACGGAAUGAGACAUAGGACCAUCUCUCGGGUUGAGACACGGGAUACACAUCAAGAGGGGUGGAAAGAAACGGAUGACGAAGGUUCACUAGGUAGACAACAAUUCCACACCUAAGAAGGUGGUAAACGAUUGUCAACGUAGCGAGGAGUUGAGUUGCCAUGAUACCACGACGAAACAUCCUAGAGGAGGGUGAUUCGUAGAUUAUUACCUUAAGUGGCAAAAAGAAUUACUUUUGAUUCAGAGAUCAUUGAAACUCUUUAAACCAGCCUAAGACAAUUCUCGAGCGAUCGUUUGGAGGGGGUCGGUAGAAUGGCAUACUCGGACUUGGAUGAUGUGGAUUACCUUGUUGAAGACAACGUAAUGGAUGAAUUUGCUUAUCACCGGUAAUGGAAGAGACCCAUGGUAGAAUGGCACAUUGGCGGUGCAAGCUAGGAACAAAAUGCAAAUGCUGGGAAUGAUUCUGGUAACUGGGGAGGAACCCAACAACAGAGAGUGAAUUCACUGUUUGAAAAGGUCAUAGCAUUGCCGAGGAAACUGAGAGCACUAUACAGUUAAUGUCGACGAUCAAACCUAGCACUUGCGCGUGCUCUCAAGAACUUGAGCAUUUCCAUAAUCAUCAAGAUUUUACCAAUAUCCGUGUCAAGGAUCCUGGCAACACAACUUACUACCAUGAUGAAUACCGGUGGAAGAUGCAGAUGCAAAGGAAGAUAACACUUUCUCAGAUUUCACCCUUGGCGGGGCCAAGGAACAAAAUCUGGAUGAUCGACCGAGAGACAUUUAGCACUCCGCUUUUAAUGUUCUCCUUGAUGUGCUAGUGUAACCCAUUCAUAGAUAUGGUUUGAUAUCUAAAACAUCAAGUAAAAGGUCGGACUUCGGAAACACAAAAAUCCAUAGGGGCAACUAGGGAGUAAACCCUACGAAAUCCCUAUGGGGAGGUGGCCAACUUCAUCAAUCAAGAUAUUAUAAUAAUAGGUCUUCCGGCUGGGUGUGUUGGCCACGACAUCCACUUUACCGGUUAUCACGCGACCAAUAUUAUAAUUCUUGGGAAAUGUUCCAACCAUCAUAUCUGCCUGAGAUUCAGAUCUGGUUGGUGUCAGAAUAUUCCAGGCUCAUCGAGUCUAGGAAGAAAAAUGAAAGUUUGCAACACAAAUCGACGAGAUGACGUUGCGAGAUUCUCGGGAAAUGAACUACGAUAGUAAGCUCCAAAACAUGAGCUGGUUCUGCUACAAACAUGUGAACACGUUGUCCCAGACAAGCAUGACCACGUGGUAGUCUUAUAAUAAAACACUACCGAGUUCAGGAGGGGGAACCAUCAACGAGGGUAUCGAAGUCCUUACAUAAGUCCGGAUUAGCUCUUAUGAAGGAACUCCUUCUCCUUGAACAAUCAAUCAGUGCCUUGGUGUGCUAGGGAUACAUAUAGAUUGAAGGUUGCAAGUCUUCAAACCACAGCAUUCUUCGCACGUGUGGAUGACUGACUUGGGAUGAUUCCAGAGGAAGCAAAACUAACUUUCUCAAAUUCACGGCGGCAACUUUCACCAAAUGCACGUGUAUAAGAGGAAGUCACUCCUUUCAUCAAACAAAUACUUCAUGAGCUAGCAUGAAGAAAAUGCUUCAAAAGUUUCCAACACUAACUUGUUGUCCAACAAGACCAUGGAGGAGAUAAGGAUGUUGUCAAUGGGCUCAACAACAAUUCAUCUAGGUUUCCUUUUAAAAGGAAUUCCAUAGUUAAGUGAACACGGUGAUAGCAUUGGUCAGACCAAAGAUGUAAUGGUGUAUGCUCGAGGGAUCAACCACGAAUAAGACAACAUUACGAGCAUCAUUGGUACUGAUUUGAUUUGACGAUAGCCCACCCUCAAUCAAAGGAUUGAUAAGACAAUAGGUCCAGCAACUGAUCACAGGGACCAAUCGAUGAACAUAUCAUCUUUCUUCAACACACACUACACAAGAUUAUCCCUUUGGAACGAACUAAGUCAGGCAAGCUUUUAUCCUCCAACUCUCCAAGUUGUUGUCUAGCUUAACCAACUAGCUCAGGGAUAUCUAACACCGAUUCUUGGAGAGAAGGUGGUUCACAAGAAACCAACUUGAUCACGAACUCAACAUAGCGGUCAGGUGACAACCCGGUAACACCUCCAAGAAGAUAUUUGGAAAGUCACGAACCACCGGUAUGUUACUAAGCUCGAGAACAAUCUUGCUUUUGAGGGCAAGACGAUAUGAUCAGAUGAGUGAGGACUUGACAAGAUCCUAACUCAUCAAUCGAAGGGUGCACCGAAAUAAGGACUAGGUAGCACGAUCAGUCUUAGAAGGAUGAUUCAAAAACCAACAUACUAAGAAUGAAAUUAUUAUCCUUUAACUACCAAGCAACGAGGUUGCUGGGAGUAUUGAUUUCACACAGCACAAUUCAUUUGUCGGUAUUCCGGUUGCAUCAACACGAAGACCGAGGAAUGACUAAUGACGACAAGAAGUAUCACUGUACCAGGAGUUCAUAGGAUGGGGUGCAAUUCCUAUAACAAUCCCGAUUUAAAGAUGGUAAUACUCCAAGAUAGAGCAGAACAAAAGCUGGAUUAGCAAUUUGUUCUGUGGAGCACAACUUUUUUGACCCAAUCCUAGAUAUGGCAGAGGUACUGGAGUUUGUUUCUCCUAGUCAUUCCGCGAUAGAAUGGCUUGAUGGACCACAAGAGUAAUAGGCAUCGAUAAACGAACGCACACAUACUCUUGACUAUCAAUUGAUAGACGAAGGUCAGUAGACAACUAAAGAGGGACAACUCAAAGGAACAUAUAAUUUUCUGAGUUGUGGAUGCAUAGAUUAGUAUGUCGAGCGAGAUCAACAUUUCUUCCAGAUAACCCAUGCAGAGAGGUAGGACUGGCAGAGUCAUAACAUAUAAUGGAGAACUCAUCAAGAGCACUCUGGUUGUGAUCGUUCAGUUCAACGAGGAACUUCUGCCAUAAGUAGUUCAUGGUAUUUGGAAGAAGGAUGUACCACGAACCUCGAGGACUAUCGCAAAGGUUACUAAUAUCCUAAAGGCACUAGCAAUUACUAUCAACAUGAAGUGGGUAGAGUGAAUCUCGGGUUCAGAACCCAGGAGUAGAAUACCUACUACUAAGUAGCAUCACGGGAUGCUUUCGAGAAUAAAAACCAGAAUCAUCACACUGGGGAUCACAAAACAUUGCUAGAUUACUAGGUGACUCCCUAAACACCUAGGGCCAUAAUAGUAACUCCAACAUAAUGUCAAGGCAAUAGAAUACCUCAACUCAACAAUUAGUGUGAUUGAGCUGGCAUAAAGGAGCAUCGAAACCAGAGGAAAAGGAUUUUGCAAAUGCAUCAGACUAUUUAGAAACCUGGAAUGACUUGGACAACAUAACGGCUGUAAAUGCUCAGAAGAGAUUUGAGACAUUCACAAAAAUGGUGGCAUAACCACUCAGAAGCACAAUAUCAAGGUUUCGAGAUCAACAGUUAACAUACAGAAGAUAGUAGGAACUGAACUGAGGCUUGAACCCAACAAUCUUAUAAGUCUACUGAUUAGUAACACGUGAUCCUGAUGGAAAGAAGAGAUAGCCUAGUUCUUAAUCCCCGCAGGAAGAUAAGAUGACUCAGAUCAGAAGGGCAUGAGGUAUAAGGAGUAAAAAGAGCCUUACGUUCCAUCCCACAAUCAAUUCCCUUAUAUAACUAAAGAAUUUCUAGACUCCACUUCGACCAGUUUGGCUUGGUAAUCCUACAGGCAGUCAAGCUCUGAUACCAACGCUGUCAGGACCCCGACUCGAUGUCACAUCGGUCUAGCCGGUAACACCUCAUAUCACUUUGCGGCCUCACGCACGGUAUCCCCACGGGUGUCGUCUUACCUUUUCCCGGGACCGUUUGCGCCUUUUGGCUCACGUAUAUGAUAGUGUCGCUAGCAUCCAUAUGAUAAGGAGCCCGGGCUGACAUGACUAGUCGUAAACCCAAAGUGGCACAGACUUACAGGGACAGGCAUCCAUGACCCAGCUUCGAACGUGCCCGGGCUGACAUGACUAGUCGUAAACCCAAAGUGGCACAGACUUACAGGGACAGGCAUCCAUGACCCAGCUUCGAACGUGUCGGUCAUCAGCAAGUGGGUCCGGGCUGUAGCACUGGGCUAACAGGACUCCGGUAAACCGGGCUGUAGCGGGCUAACAGGACUCCGGUAUUCAUCGCGUGACAUUUCCCCGAAGGGACAGACACAGGAACGAAGAAGGACACAUGCCGGCCAGCCUAAGUGUUCCAGAGCAGUAGCAAGCUACCAUGGCUCAGCGGUAACACUAGGAGACAUUUCCCGGUAAGAGAGGCUACUAAAGAUAAACAACUAGAUAGUCAGAUCCCACACAUACCAAGCAUUUCAAUCAUACACACAAUAUGCUCGAUAUGUGCAAAUACAACGAAGCAUCACAACAUGACUCUACGACACAAGUACUUUAUUCAUUAGGCUCCGAGGAGCGAGAUAUUACAAACAUGGGUCUCAUGACCCAACACUCAGAGCAUACAAGUCAAAGCACAAGCGGAAACUAUCAUGUCUGAGUAUAGACGUCUAUAAAUGAAAAAGGCUGAAAAGCCUGACUAUCUAUCAGAUCCUGCCGAGGGCACAAGAUCGUAGCUGAGGUAACAAGCUAAACGUCGAAGUCCACGCGGAACUACUAGCGAGACCGAAGUCUCUCUGCAAAAACAUAAAAUAGGCAAACGUGAGUACAAAUGUACCCAGCAAGACUUACAUCAGAACUAACUACAUAUGCAUCAUUAUCAACAAAGGGGAUGGUGGGGUUUAACUGCAGCAAGCCAGCUUUGACUCGGUGGCUAUCCUAAACUACGACUGCAAUGUAACUCUUUUGAGGUGGCGCACACGAGUCCACAUAUUCACCAUAUCAAUACACCACUAUGGAUCCGCUCUCGUUCCCCUACGAGAACGCCAUCCAUAGCACUCACGCUUAUCUUGCGUAUUUUAGAGUAUCCACUUUCACUUGUCUAUGAACUGAUAUAAGCAACCCAGAAGUCCUUUUCCGCGGACACGGCUAUUCGAAUAGAUGAUGUUAACCCUGCAGGGGUGUACUUCUUCAUACAUGUUUCCACCACUUAGCGUCUGCACACGACAUGUGCUCGGCAGACUUCAAGCGAAAGCCGACGUGGGUGUAGACCACGACCUACCUAAACACUCAAGUCUCUAGUCCAGGUUUAUCGCCUAUUCGGGUUCCAUCCAUGAGGAGAUCCGGCCGGAGUUUCGCUCACAGCCCCAAACGAUGUGAACAGGGUUCCCGAGAUACCAAACGGGCAUCCGGUACACCAUGCCACGUACCUACCGCAUCACAGCCCACCCCUACGGUCAGCGCUGUCCACGGCCUCCAGUAAGCUACAAACACCAGAAACUACUUGCAACUCCUGGACAGAGAGCUAGGGUGAAUAAGAAGUCGAGCAGGGUCGUAUUUCAGGGCCCAAUGUAUGGUAGUAACUGAAUCAUGGAUCACAAACACAGAACUCAGUUCCUGAGGACGGCUGCAAUGAGACAACCCACCAUGUACUCCUACAUGGCCUCUCACCGCUACCUUUACCAAAUCGUGUUCACACACUUAGCUCACACACAGUAGGACAUGUUCACACACCUCUGAUUCAUCCCCGAUGAAUCAGACCUGACUCAACUCUAAGCAGUAGCAGGCAUGACAAACAAGCAUGAAUGAGUAGGCACAACAGGGCUCAAACAACUCCUACUCAUGCUAGUGGGUUUCAUCUAUUUACUGUGGCAAUGACAGGUUAUGCAAAGGAUAAAGGGGUUCAACUACCGCAGCAUGUAACAGUUGAAUCGGUGUUGUCCUAAUGCAGUAAAAAAGAGCAGGAGCGAGAGAGUAGGAUUGUAUCGGAAUGAACAAGGGGGUUUUGCUUGCCUGGCACUUCUGAAGAUAACAUUGAGUCUUCAUCAGUGUCAAUGAUCACAUCAUCGGUAUCACGUCUAUCGAGAGGGGACAAAUACCGGCAACACAGAAAGGAACACAAUCAAUGCAAUGCACAAUAUGAUGCAUGCUCAUGACAUGGCAAUAUGAAUGUGUUUUGAGCUAAUGCAACUAGCAACAGAUUAAAUGAAGUUGGUUUGAAUAUAAGAUUCAAAUUUAAACCCCAUAUGUGAUUAUUCAAAUGCCAUUUAAUUGAUUUGUGCUAAACAGCAGCUAUAAGUUGUUCUAACAUGCAUGAAAAUGGUACAGAUGGAUUCCUUGAAUUUUUCUGAUAAUUUUUCAUAUAUAAAUUAUUUAAUUUGGAGUUACGGUUAAUUUUCUAUGAUUUUUAGAGGUUUUAGCUAUUUUCUGGAUUUUCUGAUUUAUUUUAAAUCCAGAAAAUCAUUUAAUGCGUCAGCAUGACAUCACCUUGACGUCAUCAGGUCAACAGGGCAGGUUCAGGUCAAACCUGACCAGUGGGGUCCACUGGUCAGUGACUGGGGCUGAUUAGUGUCGCUGACAUGUGGGCCCAGUCAACAGCCACGUCAGCUUAGUCAAAGCUGACGCGUGGGGCCACUAGGAUUAGUUAAAAACUAAACAGAAACUAAUCUAGGAUUAAUUAGCAGGUGGGGCCCUGCUGUCAGUGUCACAGGGUUAAUUAGCAGGGUCAAACCCUGGGUCAGUGGGGUCAAACCCACCGGCGACAUGACGCCGGCGAGGCCAGCCGCGGUGGCGAGCCUCGGGUUUGCGUCUCCGGUGACCAAACGGCCGGCCAAGUGCACGCGCGGGGAGCUGGGGCUCGCCCGCAUCCAGGGAGGCUUGCGGCAGCAGCGGGGACGGCCGGAGCUCGCCGGAAACGAGCUCGAGGCGGCGCCGGCGUUCGGUUGUUUCUGGCUACGGGGCUGCUGCGGCCGUGGUAUCGCGUUCGUGGCACCUACAGCAGCUACGCGAGGCAGCGAACAUGUUGGACAUGACGCCCGGACCAAAUGGUCGCCGGAGACGUGUCGGCGGUGAGUGCAGGCGGCGACGCAGUCGGGCGAAAGGGGCGAGGCGGCUACGGCGUGCCAGAGAGGAAACGGAGAGGGGGAAAAGGUUCGGUGGCUCACGGCGGUUGCAGCGGACGCCGAAGCAGGCUCGGGGAAGGCCGGACGGCGACGAGUCGAUGAUGGGGAUCCGCGGCGGCCGGCGAUGAAGAAGAGGCCGGUGACGGUGUUUUGAGGCAUCCGGCGUCGAGUGAGUCGAUGGGGAGGACGAGGAGGUUGAAACGGAGGCCAUGAACACGUCGGCGAGGCGGGGGAGGGCCUGUGGCCGCGGUGGUUCUAGUCGGCGGCGACGGCUGUGUUCGGGUUCGGGCGAGAGAGAAAGAGCAGAGGGGCGGGGCCUCGAGGAAGAGUGAGAGGGUCCGAGGGGGUGGCGUGGCGUCUCCGGGCGUCGAGGAGGGAGGCAGGGAGGCUGCCACGGCGAAGCAGGAGGUGGCCGGCGCUCUUCGGGCGCGCGCCACGCCUCGCCUCUGCCUACUGGCAGAGGAAGAAGAGGACAAGGNNNNNNNNNNNNNNNNNNNNNNNNNNNNNNNNNNNNNNNNNNNNNNNNNNNNNNNNNNNNNNNNNNNNNNNNNNNNNNNNNNNNNNNNNNNNNNNNNNNNNNNNNNNNNNNNNNNNNNNNNNNNNNNNNNNNNNNNNNNNNNNNNNNNNNNNNNNNNNNNNNNNNNNNNNNNNNNNNNNNNNNNNNNNNNNNNNNNNNNNNNNNNNNNNNNNNNNNNNNNNNNNNNNNNNNNNNNNNNNNNNNNNNNNNNNNNNNNNNNNNNNNNNNNNNNNNNNNNNNNNNNNNNNNNNNNNNNNNNNNNNNNNNNNNNNNNNNNNNNNNNNNNNNNNNNNNNNNNNNNNNNNNNNNNNNNNNNNNNNNNNNNNNNNNNNNNNNNNNNUUAUUUUUUUUGUUCUGUUUGUUUUAUUUAAUUUAUUUUGCCACUGUUUUGAAUUAAAAUAAUAAUUCAAACAAUGCCAAAGCUCCUCUGAAUAUUUUAUAUUGCUAGAUGGACUUUUCCAAAAGCUUAUAAAAUAUUUCAGGGGGUAUUUGAAAUUAUAUUCUAAUUAUAUGAAUAUAAUUCAAAUUCAAAUAGCUAAUGAUUUAAAUCCAAAGUCCCAAAAAUAAAUCCUUAAAAAUGUUCAAUAUUUUGGUUGGGACCAGAACCCUUACCAAAAAUUAUCAAACAUUUAAGAAGAGCAUUUUGGAGCAAUGAAUGAGAUUUCUAGGGUUUUUGCCCCUCUUUUAUUUAAGUUUUUUGAGGCUUCCAAUAUUCCUCAAUUCAAGUUUCAGAAUUUAAACAUGAUGCACACAUGAAGCUAGCCUAGAGCAUUACCAGAAGCUAGGGAUGUGACAGGUAGGAAACGCAAAAUACCAAAAAAAUUAUUUGUACCUACUAAACCAAUGUGUCGGAGUAAUGGGCCACGGGUAGGCUAACCCGAGCCCCAGAACCUUUCAAGACAUCAGGGCAGGCUGCGCCCCUCAAGACCCCAGGACGAAGAGCCGCCUUCUCAGAAGUCGGCGGCAAGGCAACCGACUGCCCACUCGCGACCGAGUCCCGGGGACGACUUCAGAUAAGCCGACUCCUGACUAGCGACUUCCAGAGAAGCCGGCUUUGGGGAGUCGGCCUGCAACUCCAACAAACCCCAUGUCCUCAUCAAGAGGGACGGGACAGGGGAGUGGCUACAGUGAAGACUGCUCCCACCCCUUUCCAGAGGCAGGCAUGGCUACAGUACGCCGUACUCGCGGAGAUCUCCAUGCGGCGUGGCACUGUUGCCAUGCCAGCCCUGCCAUCAGCACCGGUGGACCGAAUCCUGCGCCCACAACGACUUGUCCGUACGACCUUGGGGCAGCGGGUCCCACCAGCCAGCGGGACCCCAGAAGACGGCAAGUGCGCCACCAGUCGGACUCGUUCGGAGUCGGCCCCUGGGAGUCGGCCAGCUCCUCCCCCGGGUCCCACGCGCCAUCAACCAGAUGUGACAGAGAAUGGCAAUAGUGAUCGCCACCAGGCGGCGGAGCUGUUGCCACGACUCCAUGACCAAGCCCGCGUCAUCAGAAGCACGGCUACAGUAAUCAGCAGCUGGCAAGACUCGCCUGCGGAGAACGCGGCCUGUCGGCUCCGUACCUAGCCAGUCGGCGGGGCCCACCAAUCGGCGGGCCCCAGCAGUCGGCGGAGAAGACGGAGGCCGGAGGCACUGACGGCUGGGCCCGCGUCCAGCCGGAUUACAAUUGUACUCCUGGGGGGUAGGCCUAUAUAAACCCCCCAGGGCACCCAUGCAAAGGGUUGGAAUCCAUUAGCUCUAGACCAGAUCAUAUAGUAGGGAGAGAGCUAGCCUUGCCCUCUCCUACCUCCAGGAAACAGCUCAAGCAGCAAUAGGGGUAUUAUCUCCCCGGAGAGCCCUGAAGCUGGGUAAGAUUCGCCGGCGUGCAUGUCUAUGCCUCAUCCCGUUUCCAGGCACCGGCGACGUUCUAAUCGCCCCCGCCAUGAUAAGCCAUCCUUUGGCAUAUGUCGCACCCAACCCCUGACAUUUGGCGCCCACCAUGGGGCCUGGUGCACUGCCGUUCGGAGACCUGCUCUGGAGGGAACCCUUUUUCUCCCUGGCGAGUGCAGCCAGCCAGGCACGCCAGAUGGAGUCAGCGCUGACGCGCUGCGCGGCGUUGAGAUCGCCUGCGCAGCCAGUUGCCUGGCCAAACUUGUCAGCGAGGUUCGCCUCUCCGAUGAACCUGCAUCCAACGCAGGCACGGGCGGCUCCGAGAGCCUCCUCGCGGGCGUCCUCGAUCAACUCCACGUCGCUGGCGAGCCUGCCGUGGACUUGGAGUUCGUAGGUUCCACCGACCCGAUGCUGCUCGACUCCGACACCGCAUCGCUCGACGCGUUCCCCACUAAUGUGGUGGUCUACGACGAGCCUCUCCCUCGUGCGGAGAGCGGCGGAAGCACCGUCACCGAGGUGCUCGUCAUCAGUCAUGACGAGCUCCCCGGGGGAGGAGCGCAUGAUCCGCUUGGCGCGGCGCUACAAGACCUGACUACGCCCAUUCCGGAAGACGCUGACGCGGAGAGGUUGGAGGCGCGCCGCCUUUAGCUCGUCGAAGGCGCGAAGAAGCUGGCUAGCAUGAGACGCUUGUCAGAAGCCUACCAGCGAGAGGUGGAUCGCGCUGUUGGCGGCUCGCCGGCCCCAGCAAGGCCCAGCCGCCUUAGCGCGGUCCAGCAGCGCGGCGUAGCCAUCACCAACAUGUUCGGGCCAAGCUGCCCUGUGUACACUACCCCUGCGGAGAACAUUCGAGCCGCCCAGGCGGCGGCGGAUGAGCUGGACAACUUCGAGGGCGAAGAGCGCCGCCUAAUGAUGGAGCGAGUCCAGCGGCUGCUCGACGCGGCUGCCACGCAGAACGAGGCCGGCUGCCGCACGGGGGCGCUGCAGCGGCAAAACGACGACCUUCGCCGAGACCAAGGCGCGACGUCUUGGACGUCGAUUGACUGUGCCCGAGGAAGAAGAGAUAAGGAUCCGGCUGUCAGCCACAGUCGGACUCACAUUACCAUAGAGCGCGACCGAGACGGCCGCCCGAGAGCAGUGGAACGACGGGACGACUGUCCGCCUCCUCCUCCUCGCAAGGAGAGGCGAGUCUCCCUGCCGCCUGUUGAUCAUCCGACUCUUGGCGACCGCCUUGGCCGCCGAGAGGGAGUCUGGGAAAACGACGCCCGCCACCGGAUCGACCGACUUCACCGAUCCCUGGCGUUGGAAGAAGAAGAUGAGUUGGGUCCGCCUUGUUUCGGGCCCCGCAUUCGAUACGAGCCCUUUCCCAAAGGGUUCACGCUCCCAAGAGACAUGCCCAAGUACACCGGCUCCGUGAAGCCGGAAGACUGGCUAGUUGACUACUCCACGGCUGUCAGCAUCGCGAACAGCAACAAGCGAGUCGCCGUAAAAUACGUUCCGCUUAUGCUCCAGGGCACGGCCCGGACAUGGCUGAACAGCCUGAGGCCCCGCAGCAUCAACAGCUGGGUCGACUUCACCGAAGCAUUCGUCCGCAACUUCACCAGCACGUACAAGCGUCCUCCCAAGCCUCGUCAGCUCUCCUUGUGCAUGCAAGGUCCCGACGAGCCGACUCGCGACUACCUCAUGCAUUGGGCCGAGCUUCGGAACUCCUGCGAGGGCGUGCACGAGGUGCAGGCUAUCAAGUACUUCACCGCCGGGUGUAGAGAAGGCACCCUCCUCAAGCACAAGCUCCUCUGCGACGAGCCAGAAACCCUCGACGAGUUGCUGAUCAUAGCAGACAAGUACGCCACGGCCGACUCCUCCAUGAAGGCGGAGAUUCAAGUCAGCGCAACUAGCAAAGUGGCCCCUCAGGCUCCAAGAACUCCGGCGGGAGACGCAAGUCGGCGACAACAGCCGAGCGACCACAAGCACAAGGCCCCGCAGCCGGCUUCCAGCAGCCGGCAGGUCGCGACAGUUGAAGCCCAGCAGCCGGAUGGGCAGCCUCCGCCCAAGCGACAGAAAGGCGGCAAGCCCAACUGGUUGCCGGCCUUCUCCUACGAGCAAACCCUAGAUGGUCCUUGCAAGUUCCAUAGCGGCGCGAAGCCGUUGAAUCACACCACCCGGAAGUGCCACUGGCUCACCAGGAUCGCCAAAGGGGACGGCCUCUUACCUCCCCUGCCUGUUGGGCAGCCGCCUCCGCCUCCGCCCCAGCAGCCGGCUGUCAGGCCAGUCGGCACAAUACAAGACGAAUACCCCGAAGAACAUAGAGCCUACAUGGUGUUUACCAGUAUGGCUGAUGAUCGACGCAGCAGGCGGCUGCAGUGACAAGAGGUGAAUGCAGUAGCAUCAGAGACGCCAGAGUUCAUGCACUGGUCCGAGAAGCCUAUCAGCUGGAGCAAGGCUAAUCACCCAGAGGUGAUGCCGAGUCCGGGCUCCUAUGCCUUGGUCUUGGAUGCCACCUUUGCUACGGAUAGUCAAGCCACUCAUUUUUUGCGAGUUCUGAUAGAUGGAGGCAGUAGCAUCAACAUCCUGUACAAGGACACCAUGGAGAAAUUAGGAAUCAAGCAAAGACAGCUUCAGAAUAGCCGGACUGUGUUCCACGACAUUGUUCCUGGGCUUUCCUGCUCACCAAUCGGCAAGAUCCUGAUGGAUCUCCUCUUUGGAGACAAAGAGCACUUCCACCGAGAGUCAGUUUGGUUUGAGGUGGUGGACCUCGAGAGCCCAUACGACGCACUACUUGGCUGACCCAUCCUGGCCAAGUUUAUGGUGGUCCCCCACUACGCCUACCUCAAAAUGAACAUGCCCAGUUCCAGGGGGAUUCUGACCAUAGCCGGCGACUACCGGAAGUCGUCUUCCUGUGCGGCUGAGAGCAGUCGGCUAGCCGAGUCCCUGGUAAUCGCGGCCGAGAAGCGGCUCCUUGAGCGGUUUGUGGCGAUGGCCGGCAAGAAGCCAGAGGUAUCGCCCAACCCAAGGGAGUCGGAGGCUGAGGGUUCGUUCAAGCCGGCCAAGGAGACAAAGAAGAUACCCUUGGACCCGGAGCACCCGGAGAGGUACGCUGUCAUAGGCGCAAACCUCGACAGCAAAUAGGAAGGCGAGCUCGUCGAUUUCCUCCGUGAGAAUCGUGACAUCUUCGCAUGGUCCCCCAAAGACAUGCCAGGUGUACCGACGGAAUUCACCGAGCACAAAUUACAUGUCCGAUCUGAUGCAAAGCCAGUGAGGCAGCCCCUGUGCCGCCUAUCAAAAGAGAAGAGAAGAGUUGUCUAAGAAGAAAUAGCCCGGCUCCUAGCGGCCGGCUUCAUUAUGGAAGUAUUCUUCCCAGAGUGGCUAGCCAAUCCGGUCCUGGUACUGAAGAAGAACAAGCAGUGGCGAAUGUGUAUUGACUACACGAGCCUCAACAAGGCAUGCCCCAAGGACCCCUUUGCUCUACCAAGAAUUGAUCAGGUGAUAGACUCCACCGCCGGAUAUGAGCUAUUGAGUUUUUUGGAUGCAUAUUGAGUAUAUCACCAGAUCAAGCUGAACCCGGCUGACAGACUGGAGACCGCCUUCAUCACGCCAUUUGGAGCUUUCUACUACCUCACCAUGACGUUCGGCUUGAGGAAUGCUGGCGCCACCUUCCAACGUUGCAUGCAGAAGUGCUUCCUCAAGCAGCUCGACGGGAACGCCCACGUCUACGUGGAUGAUGUGGUGGUGAAGACGGAAAAGCAUGGAACACUGCUGGAAGAACUCAAGGAGACCUUUGAGAACCUGCGCCGAUUCCAGAUCAAGCUCAACCCCGAGAAGUGCGUCUUCGGAGUACCAGCCGGCCAACUCCUUGGCUUCCUGGUCUCCGAACGUGGCAUAGAAUGCAACCCUAUAAAGAUCAAGGCCAUUGAGAGGAUGGAGGUACCCAGCCAACUGCUGGAUGUGCAAAAGUUCAUCGGCUGCUUGGCGUCCAUCAGCCCAUUCAUCAGUCGGCUGGGAGAGAAAGCUCUCCCCUUAUACCAUCUAAUGAAGAAGACCACUUUUUUCGAGUGGAACCACAAGGCGGACGGAGCUUUUCUCCAGUUGAAGAAGACGCUGACUACUCCACCCGUUCUGGCGGCUCCGACUCCUAAGGAACCUAUGCUCCUGUACAUCACCACCACCAGCCGGGUAGUCAGCACGGUCAUUGUAGUGGAACGCAAGGAGGAAGGCAAGGCACUACCUGUCCAGAGACCGGUAUAUUACCUAAGCGAAGUAUUGUCGGCCUCCAAGCAGAACUACCCCCACUACCAAAAGAUGUGCUAUGGCGUACACUUUACCACCAAGAAAUUGAAGCCUUACUUUCAAGAGCAUCCAAUCACUGUGGUCUGCACGGCUCCACUUGCCAAGAUCAUCGGAAGCCGAGAUGCUUCUGGCCGAGUGGCCAAGUGGGCCACAGAGCUGGCUCCCUACACCAUCUACUACCAGCCCCGCACCGCCAUCAAGUCACAAGCACUGGCCGACUUUCUCAUCAACUGGGCCGAGACCUAGUACCUAUCUCCAGCGCCCGACUCCACCUAUUGGUGGAUGCAUUUCGACGGCUCCAAGAUGCGCACCGGCUUGGGAGUCGGCGUCGUCCUCACUUCCCCUAAUGGCGACAAGCUCAAUUACGCACUACAAAUCCAUUUUGCCGCCUCCAACAACGUCGCCGAGUACGAGGCGCUCAUUCACGGACUUCGGCUUGCCAAAGAACUUGGCAUUCUCCGGAUCCUGUGUUAUGGCGACUCGGACUUAGUGGUCCAACAGUCAUCUGGCGACUGGGACGCCAAAGAUGCAAACAUGACGAGUUACCAUUUCCUCGUGCAGCAACUCAGUGGGUAUUUUGAGGGGUGCGAGUUCCUCCAUGUGCCAAGAAACGACAACUACCAAGCAGACGCCUUGGCACGAAUUGGCUCUACCCGCCAAGAAAUACCAUCCGGCGUCGCCCUUCAAUGCCUCCUCAAUCCGUCUGUCAAGCCUUCACCAAAAUCAGACUCCAUCUUCAUGCCGGCUCCUCCCGAAGAAGUCAGAUCCGACUCCAGGGCCCCAUUAGAUGGUACGAGGAUUUUGGCAGAUGGCUGCAAAGGCACCACAGUCGAAGCCGGCCCAGGGACUGCAGUACCCGGCCCGGGGACUGCGGCGGCGGGCUCGAAGACUCCAGAACUCGGCCCAAGAGCCGCGCCAGUCGGCCUGGGGACUUCAUUAACCCAGCAAGCGGUUGUUGACUCCAACCCGCCGCCUCCCAGCCCAGCCGCCCUUGUCCAAGUCACAGUUCUGGCAGUCGAAGAAAUAGCAGCACCCUCAUGGGCCCAGCCCAUCCUCAAAUUCGUGGUGAGCAAAGAGCUGCCGACUGAUGAGACCUCAGCUCGGCAAGUACAAUGCCGAGCGGCGGCCUACACCAUAGUCAACAGAGAGCUGGUCAGGCGCAGCGUCACUGGUGUCUACCAGCGUUGCGUAGAGCCAGAGCAAGGCCAAGCAAUUCUCAAAGACAUCCAUCAAGGCGAGUGCAGCCACCAUGCGGCUUCAAGAGCACUCGUCGCAAAAGCCUUUCGACAUGGUUUCUUCUGGCCGACUGCCUUAGAAGAGGCCAAGGAAUUGGUCCAAAAAUGCAAAGGGUGCCAGAAGUUCAGCUCCAAGCCGCACCAGCCGGCUUCUGCACUCAAGACCAUCCCCAUUGCCUGGCCUUUCGCAGUUUGGGGUCUAGACAUGGUGGGACCAUUCAAGACGGCACGAGGUGGCUUAACUCACUUACUUGUCGCAGUGGACAUGUUCGCCAAGUUGAUAGAAGCGAAGCCAAUCAAGAAACUGAACGGUCCGACUGCCGUGACUUUCAUCUCCGAUAUCACAAUUCGGUACGGCAUACCACACAGCAUCACCACCGACAACGGCACAAAUUUUGCCAAAGGCGCCUUGGCCCGUUUUUGCGCAACAUAGGGCAUCCGACUGGACCUAGCGUCCGUCGCCCAUCCACAGUCAAACGGCCAGGUGGAGCGAGCAAACGGCCUCAUCCUGUCCGGCAUCAAGCCCCGACUGGUCGAGCCUCUGGAGCGGUCAGCUGGCUGCUGGCUUGAUGAGUUGCCAGCCGUCCUCUGGAGUCUGCGCACGACUCCAAACAAGUCAACUGGCUUCACGCCUUUCUUCCUUGUCUACGGUGCCGAAGCCAUCAUCCCAAUGGACACAGAGUUCGACUCCCCGCGAGUCACCAUGUACACCGAGGAGGAAGCAGAAGAAGCACAUCAAGACGGCGUCGAUCUGCUGGAAGAGGGCUGGCUGUUGGCACUCAGCCGGUCCAGCAUCUACCAGCAGAGCCUGCGCCGAUACCACAACAGGAAGGUCAAGCCAAGAUCUUUCCAAGAAGGCGACCUUGUGCUCCGGCUGAUCCAGCGAAUAGCCGGCCAGCACAAGCUGCCGGCACCUUGGGAAGGCCCUUUCAUCAUCAGCAAAGUGCUGGGCAACGACUCCUACUACCUAAUUGACGCUCAGAAGUCCCGAGCACGCAAGAGGGACGACUCCGGCAAAGAGAUAGAGCGGCCAUGGAAUGCAAAUCUCCUCCGAAGAUUUUACAGUUGAUGCAGUAUGUACCACGCUACCUUUUGUAUUAAAGUACCAAGACUUCGGCCCCCUCGAGACGAGCUCGGGGACUGCCCUCUUUUGUCUAUAUGAUAAAAGUUAUGCCUACGAGUAUGUUACUCUUUGUUAUGCCGCUUGGCACCGGGCUCGACAGGUCCGCCCGGGGACUUGCCGCCUUGCACUAUGAAAUGCUUCCUGCAGCCGGACAAGUAGUGUGUGGUGCCUAGGCCAUCUCCUAUCAGAAGCCGCAGCUCGCAGAGCGACUGUACGGUGGGCAGGAGUAAGGUAGAAUGGGCGUUCACAUGAAAAAUGGCUAAGGACUCAAAGAUAAAACAUAGAUUUCGCAAACCGACUAUUAAGUAGUCGGCUCACCGCCUUCUAUUCAACUUGCUAAAAAACUCUAAAACAGCUAAAGUACUCACCUUCCCAAAGUAGCCAAGCAUUUGAUCCAACGGCAGUCCGCAGAGCGGCUGUCCGAUUGGCAAGACAGGCAACUAAGGGAAAGCAGCAAAGGAAAGAAGCCAAAAGAGCAAUGAGCAAGAAAAGAUAGAAUUCGGAUAAAUAUUUACAUAGCAUAGGCCCUUGGCCGAAUCUUCGAGCAGAAGUUCAAAAUACAACCCCACAGGUGGAAUUGUGCGAAUUAACAAGUUCUUCAGAGACUACUAAAGCAGAUAAAAUAAAGAUAAGGUGGCCGCCUAAGACGCGGCAGACGGAUUCGGAGGGUCCGAGGAGGCGGCAGCAUCAGGCGUUGGGCGGCCGGCUGGGCAGUCUCGGCUUGAUCGCCUCCGGCGGCAGUCGGCUCGGUCGCACGCGGCUCGUUGCUGGAGGUGCGGUCGAGCUGAGGCUGGCCAUCUGCCCCGUCUUCUGGUGCCUCCGUCUCGCCUCCGUCCUCCACCUCGCCUUCCUCCUCGACGCUGGAGCUGAUCACCUCCGUCGAGUCCUCGCCGUAGUCUGGGUUCAUCCCAAACCACUCCGGCGGUACCUCCUCGCCGUCUUUAGACCGCUCGGGGACGAAGAUGCUCGUGUCGGUGUACUCGGCGAUCGCCGCGGCACACUUGACAAGGGCAUCUUCCACGGCUGCCAGCUCCAGUUGGGCCUCUGACCGGAGUGUGGCCAGCCGGUCUAGAUGCAGCCCCGGAUACCACGCCUUGACGAACUCCAAGGCCCAGCACGCUCCAGCACGGGCCGAGGAACCCUUCCAGGCUUCAAGACGACUAGCCGCGACCUCUAGCCAGUCGGCAGUCAGGCUGGGGGUGCGUGGAGCCUGCAUGUCUGGCCACAGGGCAGCAAUCGCCAGGGCACCGACACGUUGAAGCCGGUGCAGCAUCCGGUGAGUCGGCCGAAGGCGAGCCUCGAUGCUCAGGAUAUGCUCAUCAAGGGUUCGGGGAGUGUCGGCGGUGAUCUCUGCGCCUUCCGCCCUCCGACCUUCACAGUCAGCCUCGAUGGCUUGGAUGGCAGCCUGCGAGUGCCCAGGGAAGAAGUCUGCCAAAAAUGGAAGAAACGAAGAAGCAAGUCGAAAAUCAGGAGUCGGCACGAUUUAUAAUCGGCAGCUCGAAGAAAGAAAGUAAAGAAACUCAUCGUCAACAAUGUCUUCAAUCUCAUGGAAGCCGGAGGCCAGCAUUGCCUCUCUGUCAGUCCAGGAGGAGCGCUCGCUCGCAAACUCGGCCAGGAGGGCAGUUUCCGCCUCUUCCGCCUCCUUAUGCAUCUUCGCAAGCAGCUCCCUCUUCUCUGCCAAUUGAGUGGCCAGCAGAUCGCGCUCUGUGGUGAGCUUGCUGCACUCCUCUCCCUUGGCGCGCAACGCGGAAUUGGCUUCGCUCAGCUACUGUUGAAGAAUAGCGUUGGCUUCUGAAGAGAAGGAAGAAAGAAGGUGUUAAGUUAUCAGUAAAGAAGGUCAUCGGGGAGAUCCGGCCCGACUGCUCAGCAAUCGGCCCGAAUCUCGGGGACUACAGCCAGCGGGUGUGCCAGCGCGCCCCCGCAAAGAAGAAAAAGGACUUACUCCGGCUCUCCGACAAGUCGGCGGUCCGCUUGCCCAGCUCUUCAACAUUACGGGCCGCCUGCUCAGCAGCCGGCCCGAAACUCAGGGUCUACACCCAGUGGGUGCGCUGGCGCGCCCCCACAGAGAGGAACAAGAAAACAAGGACCAAAGAGAAAACAUACUCGGACCGCUGCCCGUGAUGCCAGGUACGCCUUGCUGCAGUUCUGGAUGGCGUCGCCCUCAGCUCGAAGCUUCGUUUGGACGUCUAGAAGCGCCUAGUUCAGCAGCCCUGUGCCGCCUCCUCGCACCCACCCAAUGGGCGCGGCGCUCGUCACUUCGGCGUCUGGGAUCGCCGAGCUGGCGGUGCCGGUCUCCAGGGGGCGUGGCGCCGAAGUCGCCUUCUCAAGACGGCGGCGCGUUGGCGAGCCGACUUGAAGGAGUAGCCUCGCCACGGCGUCGUUCUCAGUCAGCGGCAUCGGCGGAUCCACCGGCUGUUCGCCUUGCGCGCUCCCAGACGGCGGCGGAGGUGGCGGCGGAACAAUCACAUACGGCAUGGAGGAGCCGCCGCCUUCCCUCCCCAGGAUGGGGUUCUCGCCACCGGCUUCCCCAGUCUGCCCCGUGAACUCCGAAGGCGGCGGCACAGAGUUCAGCGGGGUGACGAACACCGCCGAUUGGCGGUGCGCGGCCUCCUCAUCCUGCCGCCUCGUCGCGGCGACGGCUUCGGCCUCGGCCAGUUUCUUCUUGGCGGAGGCCUCGGCCUUAUCGGCCUCCACCUUCUCCAGGCGGGCGGCCUCUUCCUCAUUGCGCUUCUCCUGCGCAUUCCGCUCCGUCGCCUCCCGGAGGUCAGCAGCGGGGUCAAUCCGCCGAGUGGUGGCGGACGUCUCCGCUGACCCAAUGACGGAGGCGGCGACAACCCUCUCAAGAGUGAGGGGAUCCCUGAAGCGAGGGAAGCCAGUAAAAGACUUAGACAAAGCUACAGAGAAAGAAUAAAGUAUUAAGACGGAAUACUCACACGGAGACCAGUGGCGGCUUCUUUACUUCCUUGCGGAAGCGGAUGGCCUUUGCAGCCGCCUCGUCCCGCUUGGUCGCCGCAGCCGAACUCUUGGGCUUCUUCAGCCGACUGCCGAACAAAGUCGGCACGGCCCCGCACUUCUUCCCGCCGCCUGGAGCACCCGGCACGGCAGAAGAGCCCGCGCCGGGAUGACUGGCUCCUGGCCGGGGGCGGGGGGCGACCUCCUCAUCAUCGCCAGGCCAGUCCUCUAGACUGGCCCCGAGCCGCGGGCCGCCUCCCCCCUCGGCAUCGUCUUCCAAAGCCGCCGCCCCCAGAUCGGGGUCGUCGACGUCGCUCUCCGCCCGGUCGGCAAGGAACUCGCGGGCCGGCCCCGAGGUGCCGGCUGGUGGAUGGAGGAGGGGAUUCUGACCAAAGCCAACUGGUUAGGUCGCACAAAACAGACUCGGCAAGAAAGAAGACAACUCGAAGAAAGAAAGAAAGGGCAACUCACUGUAGGUGGGGGGUUGGCGCGGGAGUACGGCUCCUUGCCGAACCGCCAGUCCUCCAGCAGCUUGCUAUCCGAGAGGUAGUUCACCAUGUAGGCCACCUCCUCGUGAGGCAUGUCCUUGGUGCACAUCUGACUCGGGUCACGGCGCCCGCUCGUUUGGCAUAUCAUGUGGGGGCGGCCUUGGAGCGGGAGAACUCGGCACGCCAUGAAAGCGGCCAGCAGGUCCGAACCAGUCAGGCCCUCCGACUGUGUCAGCACUCGGAGUCGUGUGACGGCGCCGGCUCCCGCAAGCGUCAACGACUUGGCCCGGAACGACCAGUUGGGCAAUCUCCCAGCCGGCGGGCCGGCUUCGAAGGCCAGCAGGUUGACCCAUUCGCCCCCGCGAAGACGCUCUUCAUGUAGAAGUACGAUCGCUGCCAUAUCAUCACCGACUUUAUCAGCCUGAUGAUGGGGAAGGGGUUGUCGGCCCCCAACCUCUGCACGGCGAUGAAUGCACCACACUGAGCCAGCACGCCUGCAGCCUGGGUGCCGAUCUUGCAGAAGAAGAACCCCCCCAGAGCUCGAGGGUGGGGAGGACUCCGAGGAAGCCUUCACACAAUGCCACGAAGGCGGACAGCAACACCACCAUAUUGGGCGUGAGGUGGUGCGGCUGGAGGCCGUAGAACUCCAGAAAAGAGCGGAAGAAGCUGCUCGCCGGCAGCCCCAAUCCGCUAAGGGAGGGCGAGCGGAAGAUGACCCGCUCUCCCUCCUCUGGCGCUGGGGAAAUCUCCCGCCUCGGCGCAAGACGCACCCGCACGUAAUCUUCGCCGGGGAGCCGACGAGUCUUGCGGAGGAACUCGAUGUGGUCGUCAUGAACUUCUGAGCCGUCCCAGGUGCCGGAAUGCACAGAGGGAGGCGCAGCGCCAGAAGAAGAACUCAUCAUGAGCUGAUCGCCGUGGCGUUCGGCAAAGCGUGGGCGCACGGCGGAGCGAAGAAGAAGAAGAAGGAGAAGAGAAAGGAGUAGUGGGAAGGAGGGGCGCGCGUGCUCUGCCGCGCCCCCUCCUCCCCCUACUUAUAGCCUCAUGGGCUGCGAAGCUGAGGGGGCGGUCGUGGGAUUUACUGCGCCCACGGCCCCACGACCCCCACGUUUCCACAACAAUGUUACUACGCGCAGUAACUUCACAAGAAUCCCAACCGUCCACUCGGGCCACAGCGGAUCCGCUCGAGCAUCGAGGCACGGUAAUGGCGCCCCCCCUACAGGCCUGUCCCAUCACGCACGUAGGCUGGCAGACUGGCCCGGCCGCGCGUUGCCACGUGAGAGGCCCGGAACGGGCGGUAGCCUGGAAGCUUAGCCCGCACGCCAUUUGGAUCCCGCCAUGACGUUCGAAAUACUGUGCAAGUCAGAGUUGGGCGGGUCCGACUCCUUCUAGUCGGCCCGACGGAAAUCAAGCAAGAACCAUGUGUUGAGCACCCGGAAAGAGAAAUGGCUGAGGCUUCUCAACCGAUCGUCCAUGGCGCCUCACCAGCUUCGGGGACUACUAUCGGAGUAAUGGGCCACGAGUAGGCUAACCCGAGCCCCAGAACCUUUCAAGACAUCGGGGCAGGCUGCGCCCCUCAAGACCCCAGGACGAAGAGCCGCCUUCUGAGAAGUCGGCGGCAAGGCAACCGACUGCCCACUCGUGGCCGAGUCCCGGUGACAACUUCAGGAUAAGCCGACUCCUGACUAGCGACUUCCAUAGAAGCCGGCUUUGGGGAGUCGGCCCGCGACUCCAACAAACCCCCUGUCCUCAUCAAGAGGGACAUGACCGGGGAGUGGCUACAGUGAAGACUGCUCCCACCCCUUUCCAGAGGCAGGCAUGGCUACAGUACGCCGUACUCGCGGAGAUCUCCGUGCGGCGUGGCACUGUUGCCAUGCCAACCCUGCCAUCAGCACCGGUGGACCGAAUCCUGCGCCCCCGACGGCUUGUCCGUACGACCUUGGGGCAGCGGGUCCCACCAGCCAGCGGGACCCUAGAAGACGGCAAGUGCGCCACCAGUUGGACUCGUUGGGAGUCGGCCCCCGGGAGUCGGCCAGCUCCUCCCCCAGGUCCCAUGCACCAUCAACCAGAUGUGACGGAGAAUGGCAAUAGUGAUCGCCCGCCAGGCGGCGGGGCUGUUGCCACGACUCCAUGACCAAGCCCACGUCAUCAGAAGCACGACUACAGUAAUCAGCAGCCGGCAAGACCCGCCCGCGGCGGACGCGGCCUGUCGGCUCCGUACCUAGCCAGUCGGCGGGGCCCACCAAUCGGCAUGCCCCAGUAGUCGGCGGAGAAGACGGAGGCCGGAGGCACUAACGGCUGGGCCCGCGUCCAGCCAGAUUACCAUUGUACCCCUGGGGGGUAGGCCUAUAUAAACCCCCCAGGGCACCCAUGCAAAGGGUUGGAAUCCAUUAGCUUUAGACCAGAUCAUAUAGUAGGGAGAGAGCUAGCCUUGCCCUCUCCUACCUCCAGGAAACAACUCAAGGAGCAAUCGUGUAAACACUUUGCCAUAGUGAUCAUGCGGAGACCCCGUAGAGCAGCAGUAGGGGUAUUAUCUCCCCGGAGAGCCUUGAAGCUGGGUAAGAUUCGCCGGCGUGCAUGUCUACGCCUCAUCCCGUUUCCAGGCACCGGCGAUGUUCUACUCGCCCCCACCAUGAUAAGCCAUCCUUUGGCAUAUGUCGCACCCAACCCCCGACACAAUGGUUGAAGAACCACACAAAAUCUAUCAUACUACUGAAGCUUUCUACUUGGAUCAUCUUCGAUCCAUUUGUGCUCGUGCUGAAAACCCAACUAGCUUGGUUGAGGGAAAAUCAUUAGAUGAGCAUGCUUGUUUUGUGCGGCACCGUUUAUCUCAAAAAGGGAAACUUUUACAACAUCAAAUUAAUACUAUGCAAUGCUAUGCUUGGAAUUUAUGUGAAUUAUGUGAUUUUACUUGUUGUUCUGAAGACCCUAAGAAACACCUUCCCUACCAAUGUGAGUUUAUUGAUAAUGGAAUCGUAUCUUCUUAUGCGAAAGGUGUUUAUAAUUACUUUGAUAUUGAACAAAUUGUAGAAUUUGUUGCUUUUAAGGGUGCUUAUGAAAUUGCUUAUUUGAUUGAAAAGUAUGAUCCUAAUCUUUACAAAUCUGAAAAUCUUUCCAUACUUAAAUACUGUUAUGAUAAUUAUGCUUAUAAUGCCUAUAUUAAACCAUAUAUUAAGGACUCCUCAGCUGUCCAAGAAGAGACUAAAAUUUUGUAGGAGUCUAUGGAAGAAGAAAAUGAUGAAACUGUGAGCUCAUUGGAUGAAACAGAUGAGGAGGAGAGCGGAGAAUAAAUGGAGGAAGAGCGGAUUGAUCACCCAUGCCCACCUUCCAAUGAGAGUAACUCUUCAACUCAUACAUUGUUUAAUUUCCCUUCGUUCUUACCAAAGGAUGAAUGCCAUGAUAAUUGCUAUGAUCCUGUUGAUUCGUUUGAAAUAUCCCUUUUGAUGAACUUGAUGCUUGCUAUGCUUGUGGCCAUGAUUCCAUUAUGAAUUAUGAUUAUGAAGAUGAACUUGCUAUAGUUCCUUAUGUUAAGAAUGACAUUGUUGCUAUUGCACCCACACAUGAUAGUCCUAUUAUCUUUUUGAAUUCUCCAAACUACACUAUAUCGGAGAAGUUUGCACUUAUUAAGGAUGACAUUGAUGGGUUGCCUUUUACCGUUGCAAAUGAUAAUUUUGAUGAAUGUAUUAUGCAUUUUCUUGCUGCUCCUACUUGCAAUUAUUAUGAGAGAGGAACUACAUCUCCGCCUCUCUAUGUUUCCAACAUGAAAGAAUUGCAAGAAACUUCUUAUGCUAUGUAUUGACCUUUAAUUGAUGUGCAUGAAUUGUUCUUGUACGACAUGCCUAUGCAUAGGAAGAGAGUUAGAAUUUAUCAUUGCAUGAUAUAUGUUGCUUUGUGCUCAUUACUAAAUGCCAAAUCAUUGUUAAUUAAAAUUGGCUUUGAUAUACCUUGGGAUCCGGGUGGAUUCAUUACUUGAGCACUUUAUGCCUAGCUUAAUGGCUUCAAACAAAGCUCUACUAGGGAGACAACCCGAAAAUUUUUGAGAGUCAUUUCUUUUUGUAGAGUGCUUUUAUAAAGUUUAAAAACAAAAAAUAGAGGGUAACUUAAAAACUUUUUCACAAAAGAGAAGCGAUUGAAGUUAUGCAAUGGAGAAGUGAGGGUCGACCUUGAACACUUGUGUGCAUGCUCAUGGAAACAUUGUAGAAUUUUUCAUGAAGAUUCUCACAAAAAUAAUUAUACCCUUGUACAAUUCCAUUGUAUUAUAAAAAUAAUGUGCCAAGGUUUGCCUUUAGGAUGAUUAAAUUGCUUGUUGGUUUGUGCGGUGCAAAACAUAAACUUUGGCUGUAGUGAUCGAUUUUACAAUUUUUUUUACUUUAACAUCAAACAGGUCUGAAACUUUUUGUACUGUCUUUAUAUACAAAAUGUUUAUUUUUUCCUAAUUUUCAGAAUUUUUUGAGUUACAGAAGUAUGGUGGAUGUUCAAAUCUUUACAGACUGUCCUGUUUUCAAAGAUUGCUUUUAUAGCUUCAUUAUUUGCGUAUGUUCGAAUUCUUGUUGAAGCCUCCUUGACUUGGGUCCAUAGAAUUGUGAUAGCAUACAGUGGUUAAUGUUUGUUUAUAAUUAUACAAUAAUGUUACAGUAGUACAUGAUUGGAUUUCAUUUCCAUAUUCACUAACCCUGCCACGAAAAGUUCGGUUAAGUUUUGUGUGGAUGAAGUGUUUGAAGAUCGAGGAGGUCUCGAUGUGAGGAGAAGGAGGAGAGGCAAGAGCUCAUGCUUGGGGAUGCCCAAGGCACCCCAAGUAAAUAUUCAAGGAGACUCAAGCGUCUAAGCUUGGGGAUGCCCCGGAAGGCAUCCCAUCUUUCUUCAACAAGUAUCGGUAUGUUUUCAUUCGUUUCGUGAUAUGUGCAAAUCUUGGAGCAUCUUUUGUGUUUAUUUUUCAUUUUUAUUUUAAGCACCAUUAUGGUAUGAUAUAGUCCAUGGUCGAUUUAUAGAAUACUCAUUGCACUUCACUUAUAUCUUUUGAGUAUGGCUUUAUAGAAUGCUUCAUGUGCUUCACUUAUAUCAUUUGAAAUUUGGAUUGCAUGUUUCUCUUCACAUAGAAAACCGUUAUUUGAAGAAUGCUCUUUUGCUUCACUUAUAUUUAUUAGAGCAUGGACUUUUGUAGAAAGAAUUAAACUCUCAUGCUUCACUUAGAUCUAUUUAUAGAGUCAACCGGAAUUGGUUGAUUGCAUGGUUAGUCAUAAAAUCCUACAUAAAACUUAUGGAUCACUGAAUAUGAUAUGUUUGAUUCCUUGCAAUAGUUUUGCGAUAUAGAGAUGGAAUAUGUGGGAGGUACGAGUAAAUGGUUGUGUUUAGUAAGAAUAUUGGUGCUAAGGUUUGUGAUUCCCGAAGCAUGCACGUAUAGUAUCUCGUUAUGCUAUGAAGUUGGAGCAUGAUUCCCGAAGCAUGCAAACUAAGCAUGCACGUAUAAUCUCACAUAGAAAACCGUUUGUGAUUCCUACAAAUCUAUGCCCCUAGGGGCAUGCGUAGUGGUACUUUGCCUCGAGGGCUAAUAAACUUUUGCAAUAAGUAUAUGAGCUCUUUAUGACUAAUGUGAGUCCAUGGAUUAUACGCAUUCUUACCUUUUCGCAAUUUGCUAGCCUCUAUGGUACCGUGCAUUGCCCUUUCUCACAUCGAGACGCGGUGCAAACUUCGCCAGUGCAUCCAAACCCCGUGAUAUGAUACACUCUAUCACACAUAAGCCUUAUUAUAUCAUCCUCAAAACAGCCACCACACCUACCUAUUAUGGCUUUUCCACGGCCAUUCCGAGAUAUAUUGCCAUGCAACUUCCACCACUUCCGUUUGAUGACUUGAGCAUUCAUUGUCAUAUUUCUUUGCGUGAUCAUAUAGCUGACAUAGUAGUUGUGGCUCAGCCACCGUUCAUCAUCUUUCAUACAUGUUACAAUAGAUCAUUGCACAUCCUGGUACAUGCCAGAGGCAUUCAUAUAGAGUCAUACUUUGUCAUAGGUAUCGAGUUGUAAUUUUUAUUUCUUUUGAGUUAUAAGUAAAUAGAAGUGUGAUGAUCAUCAUUAUUCAUUUUUAGAGCAGUGCCCCAGUGAGGAAAGGAUGAUGGCGACUAAGAUUCCCCCACAAGUCGGGAUGAGACUCUAACGCCCUCGAUGCGGCUAUAUCUCCCACCUGUCGAAGCACGACUUAGAGGCAUAACCGCAUUGAAAGCAAUGUCGCAAGUGAGGUAAUCUUCACACAACCCAUGUAAUACAUAAGGGAAAGAGAUACAUAGUUGGCUUACAAUCGCCACUUCACAACAAUUACAUGAAUAAAGCAUUACAUCAUCCAGAUACAAUCAAGGUCCGACUACGAAACCAAAAUAAAAGAAGACUACCCCAAAAGCUACACAGAUCCCCGAUCGUCCCAACUGGGCUCCACUACUGAUCAACUAGAAACGGAACAACAUAAAGAACACGAUCUUCAUUGAGGUCCUCCUUGAGCUUGGUUGCGUCACCUGUACGGUAUCAUCGGCACCUACAAACUGGUUUUUGAAGUAUCUGUGAGUCACGGGGGCUCAGCAAUCUCACACCCUCACGAUGAAGACUAUUUAAGCUUAUAGGUUGGGUAAAAGGUAUGAGGUGGAGCUGCAGCAGGCGACUAGCAUAUAUGGUGGCUAACAUACGCAAAUGAGAGCGAGAAGAGAAGGCAAGGCACGAUCGAUAAAACUAUGAUCAAGAAGUGAUCAUAGAACAACCUACGCCAAACAUAACUCCAACGCCGUGUUCACUUCUCGGACUCCGCCGAGAAGAGACCAUCACGAUUACACGCGCGGUUGAUGCAUUUUAAUUAAGAUCAACUUCAGGUUUUCUACAAUCGGACAUUAACAAAUUCCGAUCUACCCAUAACCGCGGGCACGGCUUUCGAAAGUUCAAAUCCCUGCAGGGGUGUCCCAACUUAGCCCAUCACAAGCUCUCACGGUCAACGAAGGAUAUUCCUUCUCCCAAGACAAUCCGAUCAGACUCGGCAUCCCGGUUACAAGACAUCCUCGACAAUGGUAAAACAAGUCCAGCAAGACCACCCCCUGUGCCGACAAAUCCCGAUAGGAGCUACACAUAUCUCAUUCUCAGGGCACACCGGAUAAGCUAAGUGUACGGGAGCCAACGUAACCCAAGUUGCCAAGGGACGGCCCCGCACGGUGCUCUGGGUUGGACCAACACUUAGAUAAGCACUGGCCCCGGGGUAUAAAUAAAGAUGACCCUUGGGCUGGCCGACCCAAGGGAAAAAGAGGCUAGGUGGCGAAUGGUAAAACCAAUGUUGGGCCUUGCUGGAGGAGUUUUAUUCAAAGCGAACUAUCAAGGGGUUCCCAUUAUAACCCAACCGUGUAAGAAACGCAAAAUCCGGGAACAUAACACCGAUAUGACGGAAACUAGGGCGUCAAGAGUGGAACAAAACACCAGGCAUAAGGUCGAGCCUUCCACCCUUUACCAAGUAUAUAGAUGCAUUAAUUAAAUAAAAGAUAUUGUGAUAUCCCAACAAUAAUCAUGUUCCAACAAGGAACAAACUCCAAUCUUCACCUGCAACUAACAAUGCUAUAAGAGGGGCUGAGCAAAGCGGUAACAUAGCCAAACAACGGUUUGCUAGGACAAGGUGGGUUAGACGCUUGGCUUAACAAUAUGGGAGGCAUGAUAAGCAAGUGGUAGGUAUCGCAGCAUAGGCAUAGCAAAAGAGCGAGCAUCUAGCAAGCAAAGAUAGAAGUGAUUUCGAGGGUAAGGUCAUCUUGCAUGAAAUCCCGCAAGGAAGAAGAACGAGUCCAUGAAGAAGACAAACGGACGUAGCCAACGGAUCCUCACAUACGCAACUUUACCGGAUUACCGAGAAGAAGUACACCGGAAAGAAAGCAAACAACAUAGUGAAAAACCACCACAUAGACAUGGCAUGAUGCACAAACAAGUAUGGUGCAUGUCCGAUUUAAUGAGGCAUGGCAUGCAAAAUGCACAAACAAUCCUACAAAUUAAGUGGAGCUCAACAUGCAACUCCGUUGCAUAUUGACGAAACACCACAUUCAAGUUAUUUAGUUUAAUCUCAUUUAUGUACCAAACAAUAUUAAAUGUUGUUAAACAUGGCAAGAGGAUGAAGCAAAUGAAAACUAUCUAUCUAGGCAAGUUUAAAUGAGGCCGGAACAACAAACAACAAGUCCGGAAAACCUCAUGUGCAAUAUUAUAGGUUUGGUACUGUUCUGCCCUAAACACAAUUUUAGAGUUAUUAAACAUGCAAAGUGAGUACACCAUGUUAAACUAGGCAUUUUUCUACCCCAUUUACAUAUGAAGUUUGUUACAAACCGUUUUAGCAAGUUAUUUAAGAAAAUUUAAACAAACAGCUUUUUAAACAGUUUAAACAUAGAUGAAAGUUUCAUAUUAUUAAACUAGAUGAAAUUCUAAGCAUUUUACAUAUAUAAUGUUUUUACAAAAGAUCCAUGGUUGGUGAGUUAUGAUAUGCAUGGAGCUUAGGGUUUUUUCUGCAAAUCUGUUUUACACUGGAUAUUAGAAAAAUUUGUUCAGAAAAAAAACAACAUGGGCUAUAACUAACUGGGCCCAAUAAUGGAAAAGAAAAAGAAAAAAAGGAGGACGCGCAGCUGGUCUCACCAUGGGCCUCGGCCCAUGCGGUGGAGGAGGGAGGCUGGCAGGGGGCGCAUCUGGGCCUCGGGCGCUGGCAGGCCGGCCCACUCGGGUGCUGGAUCAAGUCAAUGAGGGGCGCGCCUCAUCGUGAAGCAGGGGAUGCAGCGGCGACGCCCGCGGUCGGACAUGGCGAUGGGGACGAUGUGGAGGCGAAUGGGGCCGGGCGCGAUGGAGGGGAGCUACAAGGCCAUGGCAUAGCGCGUCCAUGGACGAGCCGAGGCUGGUCGGUCAAUGUAGAUAGGCGCUCGUUCUAUUGUAGGGGAAGCAGAGGCCGUCGACGACGUGGACUUGCGGCGGCGCCGAGCUGCAGCGAGGUCGUGGGGGCGCGGGACUUGGACGCAGGGCUCCGGGACGGCGCGUCGGCGGAUCCAGGCGUGGGGAAGGAGGAAGGGGCACACGGCUCAUCCCCAGGGCUCACCGGCGAGAGAAUGCAGCGACUGCUGCUGUUGACUGAAGAAAAGAGAGAGAGAGAGGUUCAGAGAAGGUUCAUGGGAAGGAAGCAACGAGAGACGGCGGACAGGGGACUUCGGCGGGCAGGUAAUGGUGACGAGGUGCAGCAGUGCCGCUCGCAUAGCCUCCCCAUGGUCACGGGGUCCGAGUGAAACAGGGGCACGGGGACGAGGGGCUCCGCGGGCAGGAGUGGUGGCUUGACGGCGGGGGCCAUGGCGCGGUGUUGCUCGGGGCCUGACGGCGCUGCUCUCGAUCCAUACUCGAUCAAGGCACGGGAGGGGGGGAUGAGGCCCUGGAUGGAGGCCGAGAGGAUUUUUGGAUUGAUGGGGAUUGGGUUUGGAUCAGGCAAGAUGGAGGCUUGUUGGUUGGUUGGUUCGGCGCUGAGAACAAGAGAAGUGGCGGCGGCAUGGGGAUGGGAUGGAUGGGACAUAAUCCUAGAUUAUAGGGUUUGGUCUAGUUAUAAAUACUGAGUGGAUUUGGGUAGGGGCUAAUCCGUCCCUACGAUCGUAAUCGGACGGUCGAGAAAAAUAGGCUAGGGAGCCCAAAUAAGAAAACGGAGACGUUUUGUAGAUGUUUGGGGAUGAUCCAGACACAACGGUGGCGACAGUCCGGGUCGGGUCCGGGACAGAUUUCGGACGCGCGCGGGAGGAGGUCCGCGGGCUGACGAGAGAGGUUAGGUAGGGCCUAGCGGUGAGAGGUAGUGCAGAAGGAAAAGGUCUGAGAAGAGAGAAGAGGAGAGGCUCGGCGACUGUUUCCGAAGACCGAAAACGUCCGACGAUAGACCGGCUAUAGUGCGCUAUAGUUUAACGUUUGGGCUAUCAAACGAACCCCGAAUGCGAUGAAACUUGGCAGGCGACCUACUAACACUAUAAAAACACCGCAUGCCAACUUUCAACCCAAUCCGAGAACAUUUCCCAGCCACUUAUAAAAUACUAUUUCGGACAUGUCGCGGGCGCGUGCAAGUGUGGUUGGGCUCAGAACGGACAACGGAGAGAACUCGGAGAACCCGGACGAAUGCAAGUUUUAAAACAUGAUGAUGCAAUGCACAUGAUGACAAGAUAAGAUGCAACACGCAAGCAAAUGACAUGACAACGUCAGCGAAUAACUGGAAGACCCGUGGCACAUCGGUCUCGAGGCGUCACAGAGACUCCCGAUAAUGAGAGAAAAAAGGAAAAAAAGGAAAAAAGGAAAAGGAAAAAUAGAAAAAAUGAAGAAAGAGAGAAGGGGCAUUAUUAGUAUCCUUUACCACACUUGUGCUUCAAAGUAGUACCAUGUUUCUCAUAUGGAGAUUCUCCUAUGUUGUCACUUUCAUAUACUAGUGGAAAAUUUUCAUUAUAGGAUUAGAUGCACACCCACUUAGUUUUAAUAUGGAGCGUUCAUACACUUAUAGCUCCUAGUGCAUUUGUUGCAUGGCAAUCCCUACUCCUCACGUUGAUAUCGAUUAAUGGGCAUCUCCAUAGCCGGUUGGUUAGCCGUGUCGAUGUGAGACUUUCUUACUUUUUGUCUUCUUUAUAUUUACCCCUAUCAUCAUAACCUAUUCCACCCGUAGUGCUAUAUCCAUGGCUCGCGCUCAUGUAUUGCGUGAGGGUUGAAAAAUCUGAAGCCCGUUAAAAAGUAUGAAUCAAUUGCUCGGCUUAUCAUCGGGAUUGUGCAUGAUAAAUACUUUGUGUUAAGAAGACAGAGCAUGACAGGACUAUAUGAUUUUGUAGGGAUAGCUUUCUUCAGCGUUGAUAUUUUGAAAGGCAAGAUUGUUUGUUGGGAUGCCUGAGUAUUGAUGUCUUUAUGUAAAAUUAUAGACUAUUCCUUUGAAUAACUCGUGUCUUAAUAUUCAUGCCAUGAUUAGAUAUAUGAUAAAAUUUAUGCUAGGUAGCAUUCCACAUCAAAAAUUAUCUUUUUAAUUAUUUACCUUCUCGAGGACGAGCAUGAAUUAAGCUUGGGGAUGCUGAUACAUCUCCAUUGUAUCUAUAAUUUUUUAUUGCUUCAUGCCAAUAUUAUACAACUUUCACAUAUUUUUUGGCAACUUUCUAUAUGAUUUAUUGGACUAAUCUAUUGACCUAGUGCCUAGUGCCAGUUCCUGUUUUCUGCAUGUUUUUUCUAUCACAGAGUAUCCAUAUCAAAUGAAGUCUAAAUGCAAUAAAUUUUUACAGAGAAUUAUUUUGGAAUAUAUGUGAUUUUGGGGAGUUGGAAUCACCACAAACGGAGGCCCACACAGCCCACAAGACACCAGGGCCUUCCAGAGGCCCCUGGCGUGUGGUGGUGGGUUGCGCCUUCCUUGAAUAUCGGUUGGAGCUCUACUUCGGGUGCAAGGAAGCUUAUAUCCGGGAAAAAAAUCAUGUUAAAAUCUCAGCGCAAUCGGAAUUGCAGAUCUCUAGGAAUAUAAGAAACGGUUUUUGGCCAGAUCCGGGGAAUGCGAAACAGAAGAUAACAUAGAGGGAGAUCCAAUCUCGGAGGGGCUCCUGCCCCUCCGCCGCCAUGGAGGCCAUGGACCGGAGGGGAACUCUCCUCCCAUCUAGGGGGGGAAAGGAAGAAGAAGAAGGAGGGGAGCUCUCUCCCCCUCGCUUCCGGUGGCGCCGGAGUGCCGCAGGGGCAACGGUCAUGAUGACGAACUAGAUCAACAAUCUUGCUACCGUCAACACCAACUUUCUCCCCCUCUGUGCAGUAGUGUAACACCUCUUCUCCCCACUGUAAUUUGUACUUAAAUAUGGUGCUCAACUCCAUAUAUUAUUUCCCAAUGAUCUAUGGUUAUCCUAUGAUGUUUGAGUAGAUCUAUUUUGUCCUAUGGGUUAAUCGUGAUCUUGGUUGGUAUGAUUGUAUAUUUUAUUUAUGGUGCUGUCCUACGGUGCCUCCUUUCUUGUGCAAACGUGAGGGGUGUUGGUGUCAAAACCAGUGUAUCUCGGGUAGGGGGUCCCGAACUGUGCGUCUGAGCAACGAAGGUAACAGGAGGUAGGGGACAUGAUGUUUACCCAGGUUCGGGCCCUCUUAAUAGAGGUAAUAACCUACUUCCUACUUGAUUGGCUUUGAUGAGUAUAGGGGUUACAAGAGUUGAUCUACCUCGAGAUUGUAAUGGCUAAACACUAGAUGUCUAGCCUAUAUGAUUAUGAUCGCCUCUACAGACUAAACCCUUUGGUUUAUAUAGAGACUAGAAGGGCCUAGGGUUGUACAAAGUCGGUUUACAAAGAAAGGAAUCUUCACAUCCGAACGCCAAGCUUGCUAUCCACGCAAAGGAGAGUCCCAUCCGAACACGGGGGAAGGCCUUCUAUCUUGUAUCUGGUUGGCCCAUUAGUCCGGCCCAUAUCACAUAGCCCAGACGCCCGGGGACCCCCUAAUCCAGGACUCCCUUAGUAGCCCCUGAACCAGGCUUCAAUGACGAUGUGUCUGGCGCGCAGAUUGUCCUCGGUAUUGCAAGGCGGGUUCCUCCUCCGAAUACUCUAAAGCAGUUGGGCAAAAGAACUAUGUUUGGCUCUGUAUAACCGUCACAACCCUAAAACACAAGGGCGAAAUACUUCAACAAAAUAAGUCAUGUCUACCGAUAGCUUUCUCGGCAAGACGUUAUGUUCUGGCCUUAUUAUUAUUUCGAAUCAUUUUUCAGCCUCCCGCUUCGCAUUUUGAGGUGCGGUCCUCAUUGACACAUCUUGUCAAAUCAGAGAUCGUGUCCCCUUAUUACGGGAUUCUCAUCAAUACGGGUUUGGGUAAUCCAACCGUGCUGUUUUGCACGACCCCUUGGGAAUAGGCGAGUUUUAAGGCUUGUGGGGGCGCUUGAUAUUCACGGCCUUUAUAAGAGGAUAAUAAUCCAUCUAUUCUCCCCAUGCCUUCUCCUUCCUCAGCCCAUCCGUCCUCGGGCUACAGCGCCCAAGUCCCAAUCUUUCCCAUCGCCACAAAAUACUCCGGCCAUGUCCAUAUCCGGCUUGCAAGGCAAGUGGAUGGCCUCCUCCGUGACAGAGAAGGACAUCAAGGAGCUCCGGGAGGCGCGGUACUUGACAGCGGAAAUCAAACCUAGACUCCUGACCAAGGAGCAAGUUAUCACCACUCCAAAGCCUGGUGGGAGGGUCGUGUUCCUCCCUCACUUUCUCCGUGGGCUAGGGUUGCCCCUCCACCCCUUUGUUCAUGGUCUCAUGUUCUACUAUGGGAUGGACUUUCAUGAUCUAGCCCCAAAUUCCUUCCUCCACAUCUCGGCAUUCAUCGUCGUGUGUGAGGCAUUCCUCCGCACCCCCCCACUUUGGAUUAUGGCUCAAGGUCUUCAACUUGAAGUCAAAAGUGGUCGACGGUCAACACGCGGAGUGCGACGGUGCCAUUUUGAGCAAGCUCCCAACGUCACUUGGCCCCAGGGGGCCUUCGUGGAGACCGUGAAGGGAUGGCAGCAGGAGUGGUUCCAUGUCACUGAACCUCGCGACACCACAUGGGCUGCCACCCCUCAGUUCAAAUCUGGGCCUCCAAUGCAGCUCACAUCAUGGGUUAAAAAGGUCCUGGACUGGGCAUCGUCCGACGACGUGAUCACACUGCGGAAGCACGUCAAGGGCAUGAUAGAGAAGAACACCAGCCUCACCGAUGUGAUCCACGUGAUGCUUUUUCACUGGAUUCUCCUCUGCCAGCGUCGGACUCUCCAUAUGUGGGAAUUCAAUCCGGCGGGCCCUCGGACCCUGCAACACUUCUUUGGCACGAGGCAUGAAGGAAUCAGGAAGCUGCUUUUCAAGGCCCAGAAGUCGUGGCCGGGAACGACCGAAGACCUUGGCCUCGACUGCGCCCACUCAGCCACUCCAGUAAGUUUUCAGAUUUCCAAACAUAACCUCUACUUGUAGAUUCGAGGAGUAUGCUAAGCCUUCCUUUUCUCCUUCAGGUCUGGACGAAGAAAGCGGAGAGGAUCAAAUGUUAGGCUCCACUACUCGAAGACCCAACUAUCCCUCUGUUAACAAAGAUACUGGUUCCGGCGCCGUACCAAGCGUCGGAGAAGAAGGCCAAGAAGAAGGGCAAGGAGGCCAGAUGUGGCCUCCGCCGUAAAGGUACUUCGGACAUCGCGUCCGAAGACACCGAGGUUCUAUCCUCCCACGAGGGAGAUGAAGAUGAAGAGGAAGAUGAGGAGAGAAAUUCUCCCCUCAAGGGAGAGAAGAAAAGGGCGGCAUCCACGGACCUAGAAGCGGAGGCGUCCAAGAAGGGGAAGAUUUCCCUUUCGGAUGAUUCGGAUUCGGACACCAAAGUCAUCCUCGAGUGGCGCCUCAGGCCGAAGCCCCCGGCCGACUCGUAAGUAUUUAAAGAUACUAUACAUACAUCUGGCCUUUUACAGAUCACAGGUUAACAUUUUAUUGAUGUAUUUUCAGUCAUCCCCGUGAUUUCCCCCAACAAUCGUCGUCUUUGGGAAACUCCUUGGCGCUGGAGAUGAUGGAGAGCGAAACGCCUCCACGAGCCUCUCCGCCACGAGCCGAGGAUGACAACAAGGUGUUGUCCCAAAGGACUUCUCCAAGCCAGGGGGAGGUGUGGAAGGCCGCUGAAACGGCGCCACAAGGUGAUGCCGUGGCUGCCGCAAACAUGGGGGAUACUACCCCCAUUGAAACUGGCGACGGGGUCCUGGAUCAGUCCGGCCCUCGGCCGAAUACUACUCCGGAGACCCACGUGGCUCCGGAAUCGAGUGAGCAGCCCCCUUUGAGGGAGGGGGGAGUGUCAACUCCAUCGGCGACCUCUAUCCAUCCAGAGGCACCGGAUACAUUGAGGGAAGCACUUCAACGUGCUUCCGUCAUGGAAGAGCACCGUACCCUGAUGGGUACGGUGGCUGAGAAGGUUCAGUCCACCAAAAGCGGUCUAAACGAAGCUUUCACUAGCCUGUUAACAAAUUUUGAGGUAAGUGAUAUAACAUGCUUUAGCCGCUUUUCGUAUUGGAAGAAUAUGCAUGUAUAUAGAUAAUAGCCCCUGAGACUCUAUUUGGGCCUUUGGAAAAAAGAGCCAGAUAGAGGAUCAAAUAGUCACUGGAGAUAACACAUUCAUCUAUUUUGAUAAACAUGCUUCACUGUUGGUGGCUUCAGCUAAGGAUGCUGAAGUGUCCGAACUCCAGCGGAAACUGAAGCUGGUUGACGAUGAGAUCGACUGUAUUGAUAAGCGGUUCGAUGAGGCCCAAGGUAUGUUUUUUUGUUAAAAAGACCCCUUUACAAGCCUAAAUUAUAAUGCAAACUUAGAGUUUUAAGCUCAUGCACUGCUACGAAAAUGAUUGUAGGCAACGCGAUCGAGGUCGAGGCCCUCAAGAGUGCCCUUGCCGAAGCCAAGGAGGCGGGGAGGGCAAGAAGCAGCCGCGGAGAAAGUGGCUGCCGAUGUAGAGGCCAAAAAGGCUGCCCGCCUUCAGUAUGAGGCGAGGGUGACCGAAGUAGAGCAAGCGCUCCAAGAAGCCGCCAACAAGUGUGAGUCCUUGGAGGAGAGUAACAAGGCCCAAGUGGCCUAACUCACCAAGGCUCUUCAAGCUGCAAAGGAGGCUUGGUCCGAGUCCCUGGCGGCUCGGGAGGAUAUGAAGCAAGCCGGACAGAUAGCGGCUGGUAAGACUUUUCUUUUACAGAGUAUAUUCGGCGGUCGAAGAUAUGCUUUGCUAAAUCGACUGUGGAGUGCUCCAAACACUUUUGCAGAUCUCCCGAUGAGUGCUUCCGAUGCUGCCGAGUAUUUUCGGGCCCAAGAAGGGAACGCGACGGACAAGCUCUUCUGGUCACAAUACUUGGCACCGGAGCAACCAGCGCUGCUGAACAAUCAGAUAAUGCAGCUGCCAGAGCUGCAUAGGAUGUCUGGUUUGGCCAUGAAGGACAUCAUAGUCCGGCUAUGGCCGGCCGGAUCUAUUUCGAGAAGCUACUUCGGCUUGGUCAAGCGGCUUGGCGACACCUUGCUCCGGGUAGAGGCCGUGAAGUGCUCAGCAUGUAUAGAAGGUGCGCGGAUGGCCUUUGCCCGUGUCAAGAUGCACUAGGCCAAAAUGAAGGCCGCCAUCGUGGCCGUCGAGGGUCCACCCAGGGAAAAGGACCACCGUACGCUGAAGCAUUACUUUUAGGACGUCUUGGAAGGUGCCCGCUUGAUAGAGGGUCAGUGCUCAAAGGACAUCAUGCUCGAAUGAAUUUGUCUGAAAUGCCCGGAUAUUUUAUAAACCAAAGCUUUGUAAUAUAAACCAAGGCCUUGUAAUAUAUUGUAUGCAUUUAUCGUAAAGUGUUAUUCCCCCUGUGCGGCCGUUUUUAAUUCUUGAGAAUUUACCAGUUGUCGCCUUUAGCCCCCACGUAGAUACUACGGGGGUGUUCAGAAUAGCGUGUGACCACACUUGACCCAACGACUUGGUCUGUAAAGAAGGUGGCAGCACGGCGUACUAGGCAAUAAAACUAUACGGUUUUAUCAUUCUCACUUAGCCAUAGGAGUUUGACAAUGGGACUGUAGGGUAGCCCCUGGUGUGUAUGCGGCUAUCGAACUUGGGUGCCUUAAACGCUUGGUUGGAAAAAACCAGCCCUUCGUGUAAUACGGAAGAAAUCGCUAGAGAUUUAGUAAGUCACCGAAUUGCUGACCAGCUCUCGCGGCAUCACGACAGUCAGUUUUCGGCUUUCUCUACUGAGGUGUUUGACCGGGCCAGCCGGAAACACAAUCACAGUAGUUCUCCCUUUACUACCUUAGCCGAAAAGAUGGAACGUAAGGUAGCAAGCACAGGAGUCGGGCAACCCAACUAUUGACCAAAGACGUGAUUCGGAGCCGAUGCAUAUAAUGAAGUAUUUGGGAUGCCGAAGUAUACUCUAAGAGUGUUCGGACUUUCUAUUGUUGAGAAUAUAUGUGGCCUGACAUAGAGUCCCUGGCUAUUUAAGUCAUACCAAGGUGUAUAUGCCAAUUCGGAUAUAGAGUGGAAAAGUAGAUUAAGAAAUAAUCCAAUACCGAACAAGGUUGGGUGAAACUGUUUCCAGUAUAGUCUGAUUCGUACGUCGAAACGUAUUUUUAUAGGAUAUGCCAUAAGAAUCAAGGCCAUUUUACAUGCUGAGAACAAGGGAAAGCUGUAUGCUGGUCCUGAAUUGAAAAAUAUGAUCUUGAAGAUCCUUUGGACACUCUGCCGCACGUCUGCGCCACUUUUCCCCAUAGUGUAUGGUCCUUUGAGAAAAUCAAUGGUCGAGUGUAUAUGAGGGACAUGGGAAAGGACCCUAAGUACCAUCGAAGAUUGGUGUGGCUUGUAAAGAACCUGAAAAAGAAAAACAAGGAGAAAAGGAAGAAUAUGAGGGUCCGGAUAGGGUCGAACCCUAUUGUGGACCUUAUUUUUAGUAGGCCUCCAUCCUUGCCCAUGGUAUUUUUAGUGCGUAGUUAUGUAAGCGCGGUACAUAUGCCACUAUCAAGUUGGGGUUUUGACGAAGGCUGGAUUGCUAAUCUAGCUCUGGACGAGCCGGACUGUCAUUCUGCAGUGUAGACUGAACUCGUUUGACAGUGUUCGGGGGCUUGACUGCUGAUGUAGUAUUCGACUUAAUGAGGCCACCCUGCACCUCGACUGCGAGGGCCGUGGUAUGCUCCUUAGUACAGAGGGAGUGCUCCAUGUUGCCAUUGACUGUUAUAACACCACGUGGUGCAGGCAUCUUGAGCUUUAGAUAAGUGUAGUGCGGGACUGGAUUGAAACGGGCGAAAGCGGUCCGUCCGAGCAGUGCAUGACAGCUGCUGCGGAAGGGGACAAUGUUGAAGAUCAAGUCUUCUCUACGGAAAUUAUCCGGUGAACCGAAGACUACUCCAGCGUAAUGGAUCCUGUACAACAGGCCUCUACGUCAGCUAUUACUCCUUUAAAGGUAGUUUUAGUGGGCUAGAUCCUUGAUGAGUCUAUACCCAUUUUGCGGACGGUGUCCUAAUAAAGCAGAUUAAGGAUGCUACCGCCAUCCAUGAGGACGCGCGUGAGAUGGAACCCGUCGAUAAUUGGGUCGAGGAUCAAUGCUGCCGAACCUCCAUGACGAAUACUAGUCGGAUGGUCUCUGUGAUCGAAAGUAAUCGGACAGGCUGGCCAUGGAUUGAAUUUUGGGGCGACUGUCUCUAUGGCAUAGACGUCCCCUAGUGUGUGCUUGGGCUCCCUUUUGGGGAUAUGUGUAGCGUAUAUCAUAUUCACCAUUUUUACCUUGGGGGGAAAUUUCUUCUGUCCCCCUGUGUUCGGUGGGCGAGGCUCUUCAUCAUUGUCCUUGCUGGGCGGCCCCUUCCCCUUAUAUUCGGCGGUUAGCUUGCCGACCUGUUUAAAGACCCAACAAUUCCUGUUGGUAUGAUUAGCAGGCUUAUCAGGGGAGCCAUGAAUCUGGCAAGGCCGAUCAAGUAUUCUGUCCAAACUAGAUGGACCAUCAUUGUUUCCUUUGAAUGGCUUCUUUCGCUGACUAGGUUUAGAGCCACUGAAUCCGGCAUUGAUCGACUUUUUUUGGUAUCUUCAUUAUUGCCUCGACGCUUGUGUUUGUUGCGUUGUGGCUUGCUGUUGCCAUCCCUGGCUUCGGAGGUGCCAGGGUCGCUGGUGCUAUUGCUUCUGCGAGCUAAGCAGCUAUCUUCUCUCGCGCAAAAGCAGGUCAUAAGUGCGGUAAGGGCUGCCAUUGACUUCGGUUUUUCUAGGCUGCGGUGUCGGGCGAGCCACUCGUCUUGGACGCUGUGCUUAAAGGCCACGAGGGCUUCGGCGUCUGGACAGUCCACAAUUUGGUUCUUUUUAAUUAAGAAUCCAGUCCAUAGCUUCCGGGCUGAUUCUCCGGGUUGCUGGACUAUGUGACUGAGGUCAUCGGCAUCUGGAGGCUGAACAUAGGUUCCUUGGAAGUUGUCUCUAAAGGCAUCCUCCAAGUCUUCGCAGCUGCCAAUAGAGUUUUGUAGGAGGCUGUUUAACCAGUGCUGUGGUCCCUUUAAUUUUAGCGGGAGGUAUUUGAUGGCAUGGAGAUCAUCACCAUGGGCCAUGUGAAUAUGGAGAAGAAAAUCUUCGGUCCAUACUACGGGAUUUGUAGUACUAUCGUAUGACUCAAUGUUCACGGGUUUAAACCCUUCUGGUGCUCCAUCACCUCAUCGGGUGAUGUCGCGGCGCAGUUCGGAUGAAGUCUGAAUGUGGUUUUCGGCCUGAGUGGGGUUGUGCCUGUCGUGUCAGGCCUGAUGGCCGUCCUCUCGCGUUGGAGCACGCCCCUUUGACCCAUAGAUUGAUCCUGUCUGACCAGCUCUAUUGUCCAGGUCCCUGCGUAGGUCAUAGGUAUGGCCCGAGGCCACUGCCUCCCUUCCUCCACGGCGGGGUGGAGCAGGCUGGUGUUCGGUGCAAGUAGCCGGUCUGUCCCGUCCACGUGCUGGUCGGUCAGGUUCGUCAACGGGUUUAUACUUUGGCGGUAUUGGCUCAAGGGCCUCGUUGUCAAAUUGUGGUAGUAGCUUGCACUUCGGGUAGCUCUUGGUUGGGCACUCGAGGAAAUAUUCCUCGGCUGCCAGGACAUUUGUCCAUCUGUCAUUGAGCGUAUCCUGAUCGGCUUGGAGUUGCCGCUGCUUCUUUUUUAGGCUUCUCGCAAUGGAGAUUAGCUGGCGCUUAAAGCGCUCUUGUUUGUGGGGUUCCUCUGUCACGAUGAAGUCUUUGUCACCGAGCUCAUAUCCUCUUCGGAGAUCGGUAGGUAGUUACUGUCCUACGAGUCCUCGUUCCCGACAGGAUCGUCGGGGUUAACUUUCCCAUCCUCCCAAUCAUCCUUUUUAGAUGUUGGCUUGACAGGGGCUUCGGGGUCUUCGGCAUUCUCUGGAGUGUUAUUGUCUUCGGUGCCGGUAUUGUUGUCUUUUUUGUGACACGGUUUUGAGCGGCACCGCUGACAUCAACGCUUUGUAGGUGCUUCAGCAGGCUUGUCGUCAACCAGAUCCUUCUUGCCGUUGUCGUCAUCCUCUUUGGGUGUGUCUACCAUGUAUACGUCGUAUGUGGAUGUGGCCGUCCAACGUUCGGUAAACGGAGGGUCUUGGCCUUGUUCAUCUCCGGCAUCUUUGUCCAUGUCGUCGAUGUCUUCGGAGGCGUAGUCCAACUUGUCGGUUAAGUCUUCGAUAGUGGCUAUGAAGUGGGUGGUGGGUGGGACAUAAAAUUACCCGCUCUCAGCCCCUAGUCCGGGCUGGGUGUAAUUCGGAAGCGAUUCCUCUGUAAUGGCGAGGGAUCGCAUUAAGUCUAGAGCCUUGUUUAGGAGCGAGGUUUGGACAGGGAAGCAAGAGUCCGUGGGGGCGGCAGGGGUAAGAGCCUCCUGGCCACGCUCGCUUGACCAGACCUCGAGAAUUCAGAUCUGGAGUCCGAGGGGGAGUCCGGCACUUUAGCGACAAGGGGAACGCGGUUCUUCGGGUUUGCCAAUGACGCAGUCCCCUCUAUAUCUCCGGUAGGAAGUUCCAUAAUUGCAGGGAGUCCGGCGGGCUCUAAACUCCCGUGUUUGGACCUGGUAGUCUGCUCUGGAUCUAAGGCCAGACCGGCGGUCAGGGGUGAACCCUUCGAAGAUCAAGUCUCCUUGGAUAUCAGUGACAUAGUUCAGAUUUCCAAAACUGAUCUGAUGACCAGGGGCGUAGCUGUCGAUCUGCUCAAGGCGGCCAGUCGAGUUGGCCUGCAUUGCGAAGCCGCUGAAUAUGAAAAUUUGGCCAGGGAGGGAAGUCUCCCCAGAGACGGCAUAAUUGUGGAUGAUCGAACGAGCCAUCGAACCUUCUAUCAACAUCACAGAGGAACUCUCAAUGAAAGCACCAAUGUCGGUGUCAAAACCGGCCAAUCUCCAGUAGGGGGUCCCGAACUGUGCGUCUGAGGAUCAAAUGUAACAGGAGGCAGGGGACACGAUGUUUACCCAAGUUUGGGCCCUCUUAAUGGAGGUAAUACCCUACUUCCUUCUUGAUUGACUUUGAUGAGUAUAGGGGUUACAAGAGUUGAUAUACCUUGAGAUCAUAAUUGCUAAAUCCUAUAUGUCUAACCUAUAUGAUUAUGAUCGCCUCUACGGACUAAACCCUCCGAUUUAUAUAGACACCGGAAGGGCCUAGGGUUGUACAGAGUCGGUUUACAGAGAAAGGAAUCUUCACAUCCGAACGCCAAGCUUGCCAUCCACGCAAAGGAGAGUCCCAUCUGAACAUGGGGGAAGGCCUUCUAUCUUGUAUCGUCUUGCCCCAUUAGUCUGACCCAUAUCACAUAGCCCGGACGCCCGGGGACCCCCUAAUCCAGGACUCCCUCAAGUGGCCCCCGUUGUAGGGUGUUGCAAUAUGCUCAGGGUUCGCUUAUGGUGGGUUGCGAGAGUGGCAGAAGAUUAAACCCGAGUAGGUGGGCUAUGGGUAUGGGAUAAAUAGGACUUGAUACUUAAUGCUAUGGUUGGGUUUCAUGAUCUUAAUGAUCUUUAGUAGUUGCGGAUGCUUGCUAGAGUUCCAAUCAUAAGUGCAUAUGAUCCAAGUAGAGAAAGUAGGUUAGCUCAUGCCUCUCCCUCAUGUAAAAUUGCAAGAAUGAUUACCGGUACUUGUUAUCGAUUGCCUAGGGGCAAAUAACUUUCUUGUUGACACAAACCCCUUUUCUAAACACCUAACUUUUAUUAUCUUGCAAAGUACUUCUAGUUUUAUUCUUGCAAAGUAGUUCUAGCAUCACACCAACAAAAUAGUUUCAUACUUGUUUUCGAUAAAGCAAACGUCAAGUGUGCGUAGAUUUGAAUCGGUGGUCGACAGAACUUAAGGGAAUACUUGUUCUGCCUUUAGCUCCUCGUUGGAUUCAACACUCUUAUUUAUCAAAGAAGGCUACAAACGAUCCCGUAUACUUGUGGGUUAUCACGAUGGCGCUGGUAUUCACCCUGCGCAAUAACCCAGAGGGCAACGGGCGAUGGGACCAAUACCCCAGAGCGUUUAGGAUGUAGACCGGCAGGGACUUCUCUACUGAGCCUAGGUAGGGCUGCGACGUGUUGAUCUUUCGAGGCUGGGCAUUGACUCAGAAAAGUGUGUCCAGCCAGAGUAAUCAAGCAUGUUGGUUAAUGUGGUUCACCCCUGCAGGGAAGUUAUCUAUUCGAAUACCAUGUCCAUGGUAAUGGACGUUCAGACUUGUAUCCUGAUCUAUUACAACUAGAACUGGUUACUUGAGACAUGUGAUGGAUAUGUUGGCUCCGGGAUUGCUUUCUUGCAAGGAGUCGAGGAAGGGUCUCUGGGCGUUAAUGCUACAACAUGCUUGUUAAAUUAUAAAAUGCUAUUCUUUACUCUUCUACAUGCUGCAAGAUGCUUGGAGUUGCUUGAAGAUGCUAGUCUUUGAUAGGCUAGGCUUUCCCCUCUCUUUUGGCAUUCUGCAGUUCAGUCCACAGAUACAACCCUUCCAUUUGAUACUAAUGCAUACUUAGUAUAGUUCUGAUGUAAGUCUUGUGUGUACUUUUGAUGAGUACUCACGGUUGCUUUGCUACCUCUUUUCUCUCUAUACCCGGUUGUUGCGAUUAGAUGGUGGAGCCCAAAGCCAGAUGCCACCGCCGACGGAUACUACUACAUGGAGACCGCUGACGACCAGGAGUAGUUAGGAGGUCCCAAGCAGGAGGCCUUGCCUCUUCGAUCGUUGUUGCUUUCAUGUUUGCCUUCUUAAGGCAGUCUUGUUAAUUUAUGUUCGUAGUCAGAUAUUGUUGCUUUUGCUGAUGCUUGUGUCUCAAGGUUUUGUAUUCAAGCCCUCAAGGCCCAUGGCUUGUAAUAUGAUGCUUGUAUUAUUUCAAUUUGUGUCUAGAGUUGUGUUGUGAUAUCUUCCCAUGAGUCCCUGAUCUUGAUCGUGCACAUUUGCGUGUAUGAUUCAUGUACGGUCGAAUCGAGGGCGUCACAAGUUGGUAUCAGAGCCGACUGCUUGUAGGAACCCCCUUCCGGCUCCUUGGCUGAAGUUGAGUCUAGUCACUAAAAAACUCUUACUAACAUGGCUAUGUGGCUUAUGGGCCCACAUCGCCAUUGGGUGGUAUUAGGAUCUUUUACUCCUCGACCUUUACUCCGGGACUCUGACCACUCUCCUAUUUGGGUUAAAUUAUUUUGCUAGCUCUACACUAGGUUCUCUUGAUCACAUCCAUCCGGAGGUUUGUAUUACGCCUUUCUUGAAUUGAGGGCCAAGUUUUGCUUCACAUUGUUCACUGACCGCAGGAUCCUCUUAUCGACGGAACCCUAUGUCGGCACUUGAAGAUCCCUCACUCCAGUGAUUUUUUUCCGACGUUGAUGUAGCCUUUCCUAUGUCCCAUUGUUGGAUCCCUCCAUUGCGUGCAUACGUGUCGCCUAGUAUGUCUAUGAUGUUUCUCUUGUCCGAACGCAUACAAACAUGUAAUUGGCCCCGUAUAUGUAUCUGUAUGUCUUCAAUGACUACUGCUUUGUACAUACUGUGCCUUUGCUCACUAUUCAAGUUAUACCAUGAAUGACUCCAUGCACUUGCUCCACCCCUUGCUAAACUACCCCCUGUUGCAUUAAGCAUGAUGGUUAGACCCACUAGUUCUGGUCAUGGUGGCAAUAAUCCACCACCUCCCGAAUACAUGACCGGAAUGAUACAUCAGUUGAGCUGGAUCACCAGCUUAUGGAAAAUGUCAUGGCUCAGUUCCUGCACCCCAAUAUGAAUCAGCAACCAGCCCCAGUAACACUGCAAGACUUUGCAUGCCUCAACCCUGUCAUCUACCGCAGCUCAACUCAGCCCUUUGAUGCUGAUGACUGGCUCCGUGACAUCACUUUCGACUUGGAGUCUGCUGAUGUAGCCCUGCCAACUAUGAUACCUUCGCGGACUAUUACCUGAAAGGUCCCGUUUCUCAAUGGUGGGACAGCCACAUGCGUUCCUUACCUAUUGGAACCGCCAUCACUUGGCUGGAUUUCCAAGAUGCAUUCCGCGAGCCAAUGUCGAACCACCAUGGUUAGUCACAACGUCCCCAUUGAAAUUGAAGGGUUGGAAUUCCAUGUUUCCCCCAUUAUUUCGAAGUCUUCCAAUAUUGACCUCAUUCUGUGUAUGGAAUGGUUGAAAACACAUAUCACUUCUAUCAUUGCGUCACUAAAGCCGUCCGUCUACUACAUCCUUCAAGCAAGAUAGUAAACUACCAUGCUCAUCUUGUUCGAAAUGCUGAAGCACGGAUUCUUCCCCGAAUGUAGUAAAUGCUUCUCCUCUUGUGAGAAUUGAAAACGCUCCAGUCAUUUGUGAAUUCCAAGGUGUCUUUCCCGAAGAACUAUCCAGUUCAUGACCUCGAGCUUGCAGCUGUCAUAUAUGCACUUAAAUAGUGGCGACAUUAAGUUCUUGCUAAUCGUUGCGAGAUCUUCAUCGAUCAUCAAAGUAUGAAGUAAUUGUUUACUCAGCUAGAUCUGGAUCUCCAUCAGCAAUGAUGCAUGGAAACAAUCACGGACUAUGACUACGAUAUUUCUUAUACCCCUGGCAAGGUUAAUAUCAUGGACAAUGCCCUGAGUCGCAAGUCUUAUUGUAACAACAACAUGGCUUAUAAAGCUCAACCCCUGCAAGAUGAUCUCACUUACAGAGAGCAUUCGAUCUGCGUUCUCAUUCUAACUGAAUGUCACGCCCAUCUAAGGGCUAUCAAAUUUCUAAGGGGUUCAAUGGUCAAAUCAUUCUGAAGAUGAAGCCACUUGGGAACGCGAGGAUCGUCUUCGUGAUGAAUACCCCGUUUUGUUUGCGUCUACCUCCUAAAAUCUCGGGACGAGAUUUCUUGUAGUGGAGGAGAAUUGCGACGCCCGGAUAAUUAAGCUACAGUGAUCCCAAUGUAACAGUGCCAUGUCAUCGCUUUCACUGUUGCUAAUCCCCCCUUUUAUUCCAUCUGAUUCAAAUUCAAAUUUUAAAAUGAAGUCUAAUAAAUGAUUCCUUCAAACAGUAAAACUAAAAUGUUCACAAUGUUCUAUAAUUCCCCCUGAUCAUUUUCAUGUUGAACCCAACAUUAUUGAAACUCCAAAAAUGCCCCUAGAGAAUUAAAGCAUGUCCGAACAUCACUUAAUUGAACCAUUUAUAUACAAACCUAAUUUGAGUAAAUUCAAACAGGCUCCAAACUUUUGUGGCAAUACUAGAUUUUGCCUAGUAAUUAUUCUGGCCAUUAGAACUUUUUGCAAAAAG